RNAcentral lists this long non-coding RNA (57068 nucleotides) under Cucumis sativus (cucumber). RNAcentral describes it as "long non-coding RNA (CSAT_LNC000763)". Lineage: Eukaryota; Viridiplantae; Streptophyta; Magnoliopsida; Cucurbitales; Cucurbitaceae. The record is from RNAcentral.
UAUUAUCAUAUUUUUUUUGUUCCUCGUUAUUUUGCGAACUAUAUUUAUAUUUAUGAAAAUUAAGAAUUUUCAAAUCUAAACCCUAAUUUUGGUACCGGGUCAAAUUAAAAAGGGCCGAAAGAAAACUUAGCCCAAUCAAUCUUGCAAAGUCCAACAACAUAAGCCCAAUGUUUUAACUAAAAAAAAGAAAAGAAAAGAAAAAAGGAAACCCUAGCUUCCACAAUUCUUUCAACUUCUUCCUCAACUCUCACGUCUCUGCCUUUCACAAACCUCUGAUCUUCAUUCUCCACGGUGUAAUCUUUCUCUUCGUUCAUGUCGCCACGAUCUAUAUGGAAGGGCGGUUUUGUUGAUGCAUUCCUGUCGAAAAUGAAGAAGAAUGUAGAACCACUUAUGAACAAGAAAAUUUGGUCACGUGGAUCUAUGAUUCUGCCGGAAUUCGUUGGUAGCACCGUACGAGUCUACAAUGGAAAAAAUUUUAUUCGUUGUAAGAUCACUGAAGAAAGGGUUGGCCAUAAAUUUGGAGAGUUUGCUAUGACACGGAAACGAAAAAUUGCGAGAUCAAAUAGUGCACCGGUAAAAAGAGGGGGGAAAAAGUAAAGUUGAAGCGCAUAUGCCAUUUCGUAUUCACCUUUUCUUUCUUAUUCUCAAUUCAAGGUCAGUAAAAUCAGUCUGGUGCUGUCAUUGUAGUUGUUUUUUUCUAUUUUGCGCCACAGACUGUCACUGUUUUCGUUUGAUAUCGCCACAGCUGUUGUUGGUUUCUGUAUGAUUCUGGAUUUCAAAUUCUGAAUGACUCUGUUCUACCAUGGUUAGAUAGAACUAUCUAGAGAUAUUGUAUUCUGAAAUGAUAAUGACGUUCAUGUUACAAGAUAGCCUUUUUUUUAAAAAAAUUGUUGUUAAUACAAUAAAUUUUCCUCGUUAAUUCAUUCAUAUACUUGAACUUUUCAUCAUUUUUCGUUUCUUCAAACCUAUAUCUUUAAAUUUUUAACAAAAUUCUGAAAAUACAAGUUAUUUAAAAACUACGUGUUUUGGUAUUCACAAACUGUACAUAGUUUCUAUAAACGUAUACCCAAACGAAGGUAAAAAUCAGAAACAAAAAAUGAAAUGGUUAUUGAGAGAACCAUAAUUUUAUAACAGAAUUUCUUUUUCAAGUUCAACAAAGUAAAGGGUGAUGCUCCUCUUCACUCUAACUAUAAGUAAACAUAUGCUAAUUGAAAGACCCUUCUUCAACAAUGCACAAACAAAUUUGUAGUCAUUUGAGCAAAGAAGAAUACUUGAGGCAUUUGGGACUAUAGUCAUUGAAGACUAUGAUAACAACCUAUUAGUACAAUAAAAACACUAUUAUUUACUAUUUAUUAUAGUUUUUACCCUUUUACAUUUGUAUUGUGUACCGUUUUCAUCAAAUACAUACUCGCGAACUAUUGUAAACAACACUCACUCCUUCCCUUGAUGAAGUGUCCCAUUUCGAUCAAUGUUCGACACACAUAUAUUAAAAAAAGUAAAUUUCUAUUUUAAAUUUUUUUAACACUAGGGUACUUGGCUUGAACUUUGUUCUCUCGCUCACUGAGAACACCGAUUUCUUUCUCAAAGGUGAUGACCGCCUCGUUCUUGCUCAUUUUGGCAUAGCUCUGCUCGCAUUCUUAUUGGUGAAUAUGGGGUAUGGGAUAUGAUGGGUCGGUGCCAUUGUAGGGCAUCAGUCAUCGAGGUGUAAAGCUCCAUUGGCUCCGGGGGAAAUUGAUCAGAAUGAGGAACGGUAGCUUCAGUUGAAAUGGUGAAUUCAACCACUUUUCAUAUUCAUCCUCAAUCGAAUGGGGAGAAAAAGCAAAGGAUUGUGGAAGUGUCCGUUUGGAAUAAUUUGACUUUAUAACCCUGAAUAAAGUAUUUUAAAUCACAAAACUUAAAAAGAAAAAGUAAAAUGUCACAACAUACUAAAGAUGAAUAGAGAUACGAUGUAGAUGCAUAUAGUAGUCUAUUUUGAUCCACUCUUAUAUUUUAUAAAUAUCUUGUUUUAUUUUACUAUAUUUGAAAAUAACCUUUAAAAUUAAACACAAAAAAUGUGUUAUUCACGUCAUUAUGAAAAAAUUUCAGUUGUUAUUUCUGACUGCCAACAAAAAUUGUCUAGUAAUUUCAUCUUUAUAUUCCAUAGAGUAUUAUUUUAUUUUAGUCCAAGUGCGAAAUUUGAUCUUUAUACUUCAAAUUCGUCUAGUUGGUAUUUUGUGAAAUUUGAUCUUUAUACUUUAAAUUCGUCUCCAGUUGGUAUUUUGUGAAAUUUGAUCUUUAUGCUUUAAAUUCGUCUCCAGUUGGUAUUUUGUUUUGGAGUCUUGAUCUAGAUUCUGGGUUGGAGCGUUACAAAUAAAAGAAACUUUGUCAGUAUGAUUUGGUUCAAAACAAACUAAAACAUAAGUAUACACGUGACUCUCAAGAAUGGACAAGAACAACAUCCAUAUGAAUGAGAAGGGAUAUUGAUAAGAUCGUGCAAGUAUGAUUAAAAUAAAAGCGAAUCAACAUUUACUGCCUUACUGUUAAAUAAUCAUAUAAACUAAAUAAUUAAACGUGUUUAGUUUAACAAUUAUGUGUUUGUGAUCUUUAUAGAGAAUUUCUGUAAUAUGUAAAUGAGAAAAAAGCACAUUGAUCCCCCAUAUAACCACUUCCAACCAUCUAAACACACAACAAGAACACCACGAGAGAUGGAAAGUGGUACUUUUUUUUAUAGCUAAAAGUACAGAGACUACGUAUCGUUCAAUAAAUAGAGGAGAUCAAAAGUUUAAUUCUGAAAUGGUUAAAAGCAACAAAUAAAAUUAAGAAUAAUAAGAAGAAAAAAAACCCAUCAGAUUGAAGCAAGUAUCUUGCGUCUGCAAAAAUCAUUUGCAAGGAAGACAGACAAAUUUCAAUUUUGAAUAUCAAUUCUGAAGAAUUGGUGUGAACAAAAUGCUUCUUAAGCAAUGCUAAAUCUAAUCUAUUCCUCUCACAAAUUAUGAUUUUGCAACAAAACUAACACCGUAAAGCAUUUCAUUCAGUAGGCACACGAUUUCCUUUGUUGUUCUGAAUGAUAGUACAAUGAAUCCUAACUAGAAGAAGGCUCCCAUAGUUCCAAGGAUGCUUGCAUCAGCCGGAAUAUUGUGGUACAAAACUUCUUUGUUUAACAAGCUCAUGGAGAUCAUGAACAAUCUUAAAUACAGCAUCAGGUCUAGCAAGCCUCAAGGCAUUCUGUGACAUGAUCAGCAACUCAUCUGCUUUUGGCCCAAACCAUUUUGCUACAAUGUUCGCUAUCUCUUUAGGAGAUUUUGAAAACUUCCCACAUCCGUUUUCGACGACAUAUGGCACAUUUCCAGCUUCCUGAAAGCAGAAAGUAGUAAUUCGGUAACGAAUGUGACACUGACUGUGAUGGGAAAAGUAACCUGGACUCUUUGACAACUUCAUCUAGUGCUAUAGCAACUAUGAUGUGUGUGACCAAUGUAAUGAAUGGAGCAACCAAAUCACAAUUCAUUAAUUUAAACUUGUAGAAUAUUAAUCUAAACUAGACCAGGAAACAUUUCUUUCAUUGUACGAUAAACUCAAAGUCACAAGAAAUGUUUGCAUUGACUUUGCCUCCACAUGAAAGAAAUUUGGACUCCAAAACCAAGAAAAAUUAAUUGAGCUAUCCAAAUCCUCAGAAUAGGAGCUUAUAAUAUAAGCUAACUAGAAUAAUGGAAAAUUUCACAGGAUAAAUAAGGAAAAUUAAAAAGCCAUGCAGUUACGAAUGACCUGCCAAUGUACAGAACUUUCAAGAAUUCAAUAAGAAAAUGACCUGUCCAGCAAUGUAGUCAUUCAGAAUUAUAGGAAGACCUCUUAUCAUGGCUUCAGCAAUCGUUCCAGGGCCCGCCUGCAGUGGUAAAUCCGUUAGUUGAUAGCCACAUUCACCGUGAAAAUAAAAUCCAUUCAGAAAUUACCUUUGUUAUAAUGCAAUCACAAGCUCCCAUGCAUUCCUCCAUUUUUGUGACAAACCCCUUCACCUACAACAUUAGAGAGAAUUUUGUGUAAUGGAAUGUCCACCAAUUUAGGCAUGGAUGCCCCUCUGACCAAGCAUCUAGGUAGUAGUAACUAUAGUGUUCAUCUAUCCUUGAAACUACCAAUGACAGUUUUUUAAAAUUUGUCUGCACCAAAAAUGAUAAAGCAUAUAACACGCAGCUGACUUUGGCCAAUCAAAGUUUAGAUAUCCCCAUAUUGGAGCAUUAGCGCAUCCAUUUUCUAGCUCAUCAACACUUCACUAACCAUAGAAGAAAUAAUCAAAAUCAGCUCCUGUAAAGUAGCUAAGUUCUCUUUUCAGGGUUACCAGACUUAAUGGUUAAUGUAAUAUAUAAAAGGGCCUUUUUAUUCAAGUAAAAGACCAUCGCCUUUUAGGUCAUUGAAAGUAGGAUAGUAUAUGUGUAACCUAAUGCAUGAGUUCAAAUUCCCAUGUUCUACCAAUCCUUUGAAGUAAGAUCCUCAAUGGCUUAAAGGAAGUCAAAAGCAACCAAAGUCAAAAAGUGGGUCAAACUCACAUAGAAGUUGAGUGAGUAUUAUGGAUUCAAUCGAUGAAUCCGUAGCUUCUAUUGUUUCAUAUUUUAAGCAUUUGCUGGAAACAUAUGCAGACUUGACAUUGAUAUGCAGACUUGAUAACAGGCAGAGUUGAUAACAGGCAGACUUGAUAACAGGCAGAAGUCAAAAUUGCGAUCCAAGCAUAAAUGAGGAUUUUAGACUGAUGAAUACCUGGACAGGAACCUUCCAAUCAAUUGAACGCAACCUGCCAGCUAGUUUUUUGUUGUGGCCACAGAUCACAAGAACUUGGCCUAUUGGCUCUCCAUGAUUUUCAUCAUACAAUGCCUUACUUAGCGCCUUUGCAGUAGCCUCAAUGGGACCCAUGCCUUCCCCCCCUCCCAUAAGCAACACGGCAGGAAGAUUUUCAUCCAUGCCCAAUUCUUUUCUUAACUCAAUCUGUGGUCAUUGAAAACGAAGUGAGCUUUAAUUCAAAAUUUAGACCAGAAUUCUGUUCAACAUUAAAUAACAUAAAUGAUUUUAAGUUACAGUGAAUGAAAUGUUUCCCAAGUAAAAAAGUUAUUGCAAAUUUCCAUUGUCCACUUGGGUUUGCAGAAAAAUAUACAAGGUUCCUAUUCUGCAACCUUGAGGAUCUAAAGAGUUAAACAUCUAGUGUGCAGUUCUGAAAUCUUUAUGGAAGUUAUGGUACAAAAGAAAAAGAAAAAAAGAAAAAGAAAAAAAGAAAAAAAGAAAAGCAGCAUCAUCGAUCAAAAACAAUUCACAAGGUAAGACAGAGUGGGGUAUCAAAUGCAAACGGGACGGAUAAUACUGAGUCGUAUCAAAUGCAAACAAACAAUUCUCGAAUCAGUAGUCUACCUUCGGACGAAUAGGCUUAACAAAGGAAGGCCGCACAGGAAGGCCAAAAACCUUUAGUUUGGAAGGCUGGAGUCCAGCUUUCAAAGCCCUCUUUGCUACCUCCGUAGAUGGGCAGUAGCAUCUUGUAACAAGCUUGUGAAACCUGAACAAAAUAUUAAGAUAGUGAAAACUAUGCUGUGAAUAAACAGUCAACAUACAUAACAAAAAAGAAUGACAAACCAUGUUGGGUGGCAGGUGCUCAAAUCUGUGACUACUGUGGUGAAAACAAUCUUAUUCAAGAGGCCCUUCGACCUCAAAAUACGAAUGGGAACAUGCUGCAUCAGAGGAUGAACACUGAUAAUAAUAUCUGGCCUAUAUUUCAUCAGUCCUUUUGCUACUUCUCUGGUAGAUGAUGAUGAAUUAGAAAAAUAUCAUGAAAUGAAACAACUCAAUAGAAUCAAAAUGCCAAUCAAGGAAAAUAGUCAGAAAAUUGAGCAGUCUUUCUAUCUUUAAGCUCUUCAGACGAUCAUAAGGGAAUCUUAAGGCAACUACCAGUGAUAGUGAAAGAAAAACUCACCGAGCUAUGAAUGUUGAAGUUGCAGCAAAAUUUGACUGAUGAAUCACUUUUGGAGCAGUCACAUAGUAAGUCAUCUUCCACAAUGUGCCAUGUUUCACCAAGAAGUUGUAGCUUCUUGGUAAUUGAUUGAAAGGCCAAGGAGUGUGGUCCGUCCACAAAUCAGUUAUAAACACCUGCAAUCAUUCAUAUUAUAUUACAAAUAAAGUAAUGUCAACACUAUCACAGAUCCACAAAAACCAAAUACAUAGUAUACUUUUCUUAAACCUCCAAUGGAUCAGUGAGAAAUUGAAUGUCACAGGUAUGAAAUUCUAAACGAGCAUUUCAGGUACGUUAAUUCGUUUAGUAAAAAUUUGACUUCUAACCAUCAACCCAGCAAAACUAACCUGAUAAUUGUUCCCAAAUUCUUCAUUAAAGGCUGCCUUGAUUGCCUCAGCAGAAGCCCGAUGACCUCCACCAGUGUCACUCAUUAAAAUAAGAACCCGUUUGGGGUUCUCAGCCUCGAUUUUAUUCAAUGGCAGUGCCCCAUCUUGCGAAACACCAAAUCCAUCGUCUCUAAUCCCAUUGGUUUCAUCUGAAACACCACCUAACGAAGCAAACCCAAGAGGGGGUUUGUGACAAUGAAACUUUAUAACAUUAUUGAACUCGUUCACAAAUCUCCUUAAGCUCGAGCUACCUCUUGAACUCAAGCUCAACGAAGCACCAGACCUGGGUGGCCUUUUUACACAACGAUAAUUUUCAAACCCGUUCAAAUAAAGAGAGUGUGACGACGAACCAGAACACCCUUCUGAAUUCAAGUUAAGAAACCUUGAACUAAACGCAAAAUAACCCAGUUGAGAAAUGAAAUCGGAAACAGAACCAUUUUCUUGAACUACAGUCGAUGGAUUACGCAUGUUUCUUUUGCAGCUAAGUAAGAUACAUGGAGAUCAACGAAAUGGGUGUUCUACAAAACCAAAAAUGGGACGAUUCCACACAAAUAAACAAGAAAGAAAGAGGGUCGUUGAAGUUGAUUGAAUUAGAAUGGAGAAACGAAAAAGAGAGAUGUUGAAGUUGAAUGAGAGGGACCUUCUGGCUUCUGAAACUGGUUCUUCCACAGCCACAAGGAGAGGAUGUAGUGAAUGAAAUAUGGCGCUUGAGGAUGUGUCCUUUUAUUCCUUUCCAGCUCCGCGUCAAAAUGUCGCUUAGUUUUUCACAGCUCCAUAGCCCAAAAUUCAACCGUAUAUUCCAUUGGAAAUGGAAAUUGAUACCUAAACACCAUCGGAUAGGGAUAGGACCCUCCCAACUGUAAUGGAUUUACACUAGUCAUCUCCAAGUCCACCGGCCAUCGCCAAUUCUCUUUGGAAAAUCAACGAAAUUAAAUUACUUUUUGGGCGUGUUCUUGAUUUCUCCAAAUACCCCAUUUUACCCGACAGUCAAAUUUAUCCAAGUUUUCACUUUUUUUUUUCUCUCUUUCUAAAAUCUAUUCGUCUAUAAAGAACAUAAACAACGUUUUGAAUUCAACCGGAAACCAUUAGUAAAAAAUAAAAAGAAAAAGAAAAAAAGUUGUUUUUCUCUUUUGCCAUUUAACUUUGUAUAUAAUGACUUUCAAUUUGAAUGUUUUAAAUUUAAAAAACGAUUAGAAAAUAUUUACAAAUAUAGUCUAAACUCUUUAUCAAUUUAUCGACAUCUAUAAGGUAUCUUUCACUAAUAUUUGUACUCAUCAUAAUAUACUUAAAAACAACUCAAUUUUUAAACUAGUUUGUUCAACUUUUAAAACUUUAACUUGAUAUUAAAAACUUACUUAAAACGAAUGUGAUGAAAACUAUAAUGUGUUUAAAAAGGAAAUAAGAAAUAGUAUAUGUUUGAAAGCGUGUUGUGAAAAUAUGGUAAAAGAACAAAACUUUCAUUCAGUAAGCGAUAAAAAUGAGUCUUUUCAAAUAUAAACAAAAUAAACGGAUAGAUUAUGAAAUUAUGAAAAUAUUUUUAACCUUGUUUUUAAUAAUCUUUUCGAUAAAAAUCUUUUAGAUACAAAAUUAAAAUAUUAAUUUCACACCCUACCACCAAAGAAGAAUAAGAAUAAGAAAAUGAUUGAAGAUGAAAGUUAAAAGUCCAUAAUCCCAAUUCCCACGUUUUUAUGCGUUGGGAUUUUAAUGAACAUUGAUGACUACCCUCAUUUUAUUGGCCUAACUUGUUCCCAUUUACAUUCCAUAUAUUUAAUUCUUACUAACUUUAGAUUAUAGGGAAAAAAGGUUUUCUAUUUUCUAAAUUUACGAUUGUUUUUUAUCUCCAAAAUUUUAGUUAGUACGUUAAUAAACACUAAAAUUACUGCACCAAUUAUAAAACACAAAUAUAAUAUUUUUAAUUAAGUUUCCAAUACAAUAAUAAUUUUCUUUAGUUAUGUUUUGAUAUAUUUAAAAAUGUUUAUUUUUAAAUAUGAAGAUGAGAGUUAUUGCUAUUGUUACUAUUUUCGUUCUUAACCUAUUUUAAUCAUAUGUUAACUUUAAUAUGACUCUGGUUAUCAACUAAGUGAUUAAUUAUCGUAGUAUGUUUUUUUAUUAUUAUUUUAAUAUGAUUACACAAAAUCUUUUCGAAACACUUAGUUAAUUAUUUAAAAUAUUUGAAAUCGUAAUUUUCAUACCAAUAAAUUUUUUUUAUAUAUUUUUAAGUAAAUUUAGAAGUGAUAUUAUUUUUUUAAUUUUUCUAAAACCAAAUUACUAUAAAAAAAAAUAUAUGUUCAAAGAGGAAAAGUAAUUUGAUGGGAUUGUGGAAAGUUUGGCGAAUGAGAGGAGAAAAAAAUGCACGUGAUUUGCUUAAUUUCAAGUAAUGUUGAAAUAGGAAAAAUGUGCAGCCCAUGUGGUACAUAUGAAUCUUUCAUAUGAUACCCUUCAAAUCUCACCGUCCAAAACCUGAUUGCCCACUGAGGUGACCCUUCAAUUUUUUUUUUAACUUAAGUUCAUGCAUUCACUCAUCCGUCAUUAAAAUGAACACAAUCUUAAUAAGAAUCUCAAUUACAAAUAAAUUAAAUAUUUGACGGUUUUUAAAUAGGUUGAUACAAUUGUAGUUAAAGGAAAAUAAAGUUUUAAAGCAGAUUUGAAAUUGAUUUAACAUCAAAUUUGAAUAUUAAACAUGUAUGAUAUAAUCAAGGUUUAUGACUGAAUCAAAACAAUAAUAAUAAAAAUUUAUAAAGUAGCCUAAAUAGUAAGAAUUGUAUGGGAUUCUGAUUUAUGGUGUUUGUUUAAAACAAAUGGAUGACUAAAAUGUAAGGGCUAAGAAGUAAUUUUAAACUUUCAAAUUUUCAAAAUAAUGAUCUAACCAAAGGCAAAUGGUCAACUUUCAAAAUAUAGGAAAGUUAAAAUAUUAACGUCUUGAGUGGUCUAAUCUUCCUUAAUGGCUAUUGUUGUAAUUGCAAGAUUGACCUUUUUUUCUUCUUUGUGAACAAAUUGCAACUAUAACACUGUUAAAACAUGUUAUUUUGUUCCUCUUGAACCUGUUAACACUUAACAUGCAUAGUUAGAGGCUUUGAACACCUUUUUAUUCAUAAAUAAUAGUCUUCUUAUUUCUAUAGUUUGUAAAUUGCUUUCUUCCACUGUUUACAAAAUCAUAUCAUUUUUAUAAAAUUAGAGAGGUUUUUUUUUUUUUUUUUAAAGAAAUUUAGUUGAGCAUUGAAAUGUUUAAUUAGUUAGAAAAUAAUGAAACAAAUGUUCAGAAGUUAACAAUAUGUUAAUUUGAACUUAAAAAUUAUCACUGUUUUAAAUUCAUUUAUACAUAUUUUGAAAUUUUAUGAAUUUAAUAAAUGUAAACUUCAAAUAGGGAAGGUGAAUGGUGCAUUUUGUUGAAAGUUUUUAUAUAACAAGAUGUACAUUGACAUAUAUGAACAAUGUAAUAAUAUAUCAGUAAAAUACUAUUUAACAUCAACCAACUAGAUAUCUUAGUUGAUUAAAAUAUUUUUCUAUGACAUGUAUGUAUAUGUGUAAGUUGAUAAAUAUGGUUUAGAGUUUGAUCGUUGCUAUAUUUGUCCUGGUUAAAGUUAACAAUAAUUCUAAUAAAUAAAUAGUACAUUGGACUAUAGGUGUUCACAGUUUGGUUCGAUUCGAUUUGAAAAUGAAACCUUGCUGAAGUGUAAAAUGCAAAAACUUCGAUUCAGUUUUAAAUUACCUCAUAUUAUAGAUGUCUGUGCCUACAACCUCUUACAUAGUCGUUUAGCUUUCUACAUAAUAGUUUAUUCUCUUAAUGUUUGCUUCGAUUUUAGAAUUGAGUUAAUAUCACCCAACUAAAUCGUAAAGAAGUAGUUUCAAUUUAAACUAAACAUGAAACGCCGUCGAACUGCACACAUUCGAUUUGUGAUUCGGUUUGAUUUUUUGAACAGCUACAUUGGGCCGCGUAGCAUUGGGCUUUGAUAGUAAGCGGCCCAACACGAUCCAGAAACGAGGUUGAUUCAAUCAAGCGCAAUGAAUCGAGCGCAGGUUCGAACCAUGACAGUGCGAUUUUUCCUAUAACGCCGGUUUCUUCAUCUCCGUCACUCACAUAGAAGAUCAUACAAUCUCAGGAUAGGGGGCAAUGGCGAGCGACGAAGAGAGAGCUCUAGAGCACCAGCUGGAGGUUCAAUUGUACGAGCAGAAAGAGUCUCUCGCCGCCUUACAAGAUGCCCUAGCCUCCGACCCGUCCAAUUCGGAGCUUCUCGAGGUACAUUAUUUUCUCCGGCCAAAUGAAUUUCCUUUUGUGUUUUGGAGAAAGUUCUUCCGAGGAAUGCGUGAACCGGGUUUUUGUUUAUCAAUGAAUUCGAUUUUUUUAUUUUAGAAGUUUUGGAGACCUCUGCCUGUUGAUUUUUCUGAAUAUAAUCUGUUUGAUAUGUCAAGGUUCACGAGGAGCUCGUUCAAGCAAUUAAAGAUGCCGAGGAAGGGCUGCUUCACCUUAAGCGUUCUAGGUUAUUACGAGAAGCAGAUACGGUGUUACGUGGUCAUGAUAGUAACGCAGCGGAGGAUGUUAAGGUGGAGCCUCUUGAUGCUACGGAUAUCAAACCUGAACCUCUUGAAGAUCAUAGUUUCUUUGUUGGAUCGAAAUGUAGAUUCCGGUACACUGAUGGACGUUGGUAUGACGGUGAAAUUGUUGGAUUGGAUGGUUCUAAUUCUGCGAAAAUCUCUUUUCUCACUCCCACAACUGAAAAUAUGUUGGUAUGCACUCUGGGACUUUAUAUAUCGGAUUUUGCGGAACUGUUAGCAUUAUUUGUUAUUAUAUUUCACUUGUAUUGUGUUCUGCGUAUUGCUUCUGUAUCGUUGUGGUUGUCUUUGAUUUUUUGAGGAAACUCGACUAAGCUUCUUCCCUUUAAUAGUCCGAGGAACAGUUUGCUGCCAUUAUCAAGUGUUAAUAGUGACUGGGGUUUUGAUUCCCCUAAACUUUUGAGCAAUCUAUGGUUUUUCUCACUUCACGAUACUAAUACUACAUACCACCACCAAAGUGCAGAUGUGCAAGUUCUUCUUACAGCAAAGAUGUCGGUUUGGCACUAACUGCCGUUUAUCGCAUGGUAUGUCAUAUUCUUUCAUGUCGACCAUGUAGAUCCAACAACUCAUGAAGUAAAAGCCUUCCUCUUGUUUCAGUGGUUGUUCCCACCAGCAAUACUAUCUUGAGAUGCUAGGAUGAAUUAUUAACACUAUUUAGUAAAGGAAUCUGUAGGACGAAUGAUGAACUUCCUGUUUCCGUCCAGGACUAAAAAUGUUUUCCUUCAUAAUAGUCAUGUGGAAAAAAAAUAUUCCAGUAUUGUUUGGUUCUUUUGUUCAUGGAUCUUUAAUUGUUUUCAUUCCUAACAGAAUAAUGGGAGUAAAUCUUAGAUUUUUUACAAUUCAUAAUUUGUUGUUCCCCUUGAGAUUAGUAGCCGAUUUGUUUCUAUUAAAAGAAGAAUGCACGAGGUAGUGGCGGACUAGAUACCCGUCCCCAAUCCUAAAACUAAAGAAAAUGGAGACUUCACUGAAGAAAAACUGUCAAGGAACUGUGAACUAAGCUAUUUCAUGAGAGAGAGCAAAGAGACUUUCAUGGAUUUCUCUAUCGUUCUAGUUUGUUUGAAAAUUCAAUUGCCCGCAUUAUGUAUUAGGUAGGUGUUGUUUGUGAACAUCAAACAUCUAGAACACCCCUUCAAUUCAGCUGUCUCUGUGUGUAAAUUCUUUGCAUGAUACGUUUUAUGACUGGUUUAUGAAAACAUAAGAUGGUAUUUUAUCUCUAUUCCAAUAAUGCCACGAUCAUGAAUUCCCUUCACGUUGCUUUAACGUUUCCAUUUUAUAUAAUUGAACUUACCCCAGUUUUUGGUUCACCUUUUCUGAGAAUGAUCCAUUUCUUUCUAUGGAAAACAAAAUGCAACAGCCAGGCUGCUAUUCUCAAUUAUAUAUUUUUCCUUCUAUACCAUAAAAUUCAAUGGCUAUGCUGCUAUUCUCUAUUAAGCUCAUCAAGCAAUUUAGAGUUUGAGGAAGAUAUAUUUUUACGUUCGUUUAUUCUUUUUCUAAUGCUAGGUUUUGUUCUUCUGUAUAAUAAUAUAAUGUAUAUCUCUACAGACAAUAGCUGUGCUGUUAUUCUCAAUAAGCUGACUGAGAGAGUUCUUCAUGCGCAGGAGUUGAUAUCCCUUUAACCUCUCUUAGGAGCUACGUGCCGACAAUUUGGAACCAGUCAAUGGCAGGAUCCAGUAUUUUGGCUCUCUCGUCUAGGAAUGACAUUUGGAGGCAUGCUGAACUUGAAUCUUGGGAUGAUGCACUUCAAGUUGCACAAGUUGUUUUCAAAGGUGAUGGAUAUUCUCAAAAGCUUGGACCGGAGGACAUAGCUUUAUCUGAGUAUGCUCUAAUUAAUGAUGAAGAGGAAAGUGAUUCCAGCUUGGAACAGUCCGACUCAAGUGAUUAUGAAGAAGAUGAUUUGCAGGGUUUGGGAUUUCUCGAAAGCUCUACCCAGCAGAAGGGCAUCCAGACUGAGACCACCAUAUUUGCUAAAUGGGAAAACCAUACCCGGGGGAUUGCUUCCAAGAUGAUGGCUAAUAUGGGGUAUCGUGAAGGGAUGGGUUUGGGUGCAUCUGGGCAGGGGAUGCUAAAUCCUAUUCCGGUCAAAGUUCUUCCAGCAAAGCAAUCUCUGGAUCAUGCUCUAGAGUCACAAAAGGAGAAUAAUACUAAUGACGAAAAUAAUGGUAAGAAACGAAGUAGAGGCGGUAAGAGGAAACGCGAGAAAAAGUUUGCUGCAGCGUCACGUGCAGCUAAAGAGGAAGAAGAGUCGAGACCCGAUGUCUUUAACCUAAUCAACCACCACCUUGCAAUGCACAAUAGAGCAUUGAAUGACGGAUCUGUGAAGAAACAGAAAGAUAAAGGUUCAGCAGAUUGGAAGAAAGUGGAUAGACGAACCAUAAUUGCGUAUGAUGACGAGGUGAAAGACCUGCGCAUACGAAUAGAGAAGCUUGAAGAAAUGGUGAAUAGAAAUAAGAAAGAGAAGGUUGUUUACGAGGCUGCCUUAAGAAAGCUGAAUGAGACCCGGAAAGCUUUGGCCGAAGCUGAGGCGGCUCAUGCGUCUGCAUCAAAUGCAGUUAACAGUAGAGAAAAGGAAAAAAGAUGGUUGAAAUUUUAGGAUCCGACUCGUUGUAUAAUGAUAGCUCCACCUGUAGAAGUUUCAUUUCAUUCUUCUGAAACCGAACACCACAGUGUGAAUUAGCGAGGCGAAUCGUGUCACUUGUAUUCCAUGAUGGCUGGCAAUUGGUGUAUUUUCAUCUAGGGAUCAAACUAUAAGAUUAUUCAACCUCCCUCCCCCAUCUAAUAUGAUUUUGUGGAAAUAUCAUAAUGUUAUUUGGAUUGUAUUUUUGGCAGAUACAAUCCAUUGAGUGGAGUCAUAUAAACAGGAACAACAACCCUAUUUAUUUCUUUUGCAGUUUAACAUGUUAUAGUCACUUUUGUUGAUUUUGUGAUAUGCAUACCUUUACCCUAGGGAGCAGCACAAUGGAGGGGGACAAAGAGAUACCCUAUAAUUUAUAUUCAAAGGGAGUUGGGGGCGUUUGACAACGGACAUAUAAUUGAUAUAUAAUUGAGGUGGAUGAAUAAGUUAUUCAACAUCCCAAUGUUCUGGUUUACCAACAAUUGAAAAGAUUUAUUAGCGUGUUUGUGCUAUUUUUUUAUUUUGUUAUAUGUGUUAAUUUAUAUUUCUUACUUCGUGUUAUUCACAUCAAUUCUCCUAAUCACUCUCUCAUACAAUAAUUAUCAAUUCAAUUUAACUUUGACUCUCAAACCCAAAAAGUAGUAAAAGAUUUGUUAAUUUAGAUUUUUUUUAAUAUGUAGUUUGUGUAGGACAUAUUAGAUCAUACAAUUAGAAGUUUGACUUAAACUACUUGAGUUUAAUUCACAUAAUAAAGGCUCGUAUUUACUCUCUUUAUAUUUGAAAUAUCAUGAACUUUAGAAUAGGUUUUACAUGGAUUUUAGUUUCGAAAAAAAGUAUAUAUUUUCAGUUUUGUUUCGAAAAGUACUCUCAUGAAAAUUGAUGUGGUUAUUGAUUUGUCAUAUUGAUGUCUAAAAAUUGGUUGUGCUAUCUUUUAUAUUUAUUUUGUUCAUAAUUGUUUGUGGAAUGCUGUUCAUAAAGAAAGAGAGUAAAAUAUACAACAUCGAAGUGGUGUAGGAUUUUAUACAAGGUUAGCACGAUGUUCGACAAAGGGUUUUAGAAAAUGAAGGGUUUAUCCCCGUAGUAAUUUUGGGUAUGAAUUGAUUCAUCACACCAAUUCUAAACGUUGCUUAAAUUCCAACGGUAGAUUCAGAAUCGUCUCUUGCCGGAAGGAGAAGACGGCGAAGAAGAAGCAACGGCAUCAUGAGGAUUGCAGUGGAAGGUUGCAUGCACGGUGACCUCGACAAUGUCUACAGAACUCUCCAAUACAUGGAGCAAGCUCAAAACAUUAAAAUCGACCUUCUGCUCUGCUGUGGCGACUUUCAGGUACUUCUUCACUCCUGCUUACAUCCUAUUUUUCCGUCUAUUUUUCCUAUUUUGAAGUAUCUACCCCCCGAUUUAGGCUGUUAGGAAUGAGAACGAUCUGAAGAGCUUAAAUGUGCCGCCCAAAUAUCGAUCAAUGAACUCGUUCUGGAAGUAUUACUCUGGAGCUGAAGUCGCUCCCUAUCCUACUAUUUUCAUUGGUGGGAAUCAUGAAGCCUCUAAUUAUCUGUGGGAAUUGUGAGUUACUUGAGCUUAGCUUGCGUUAUAUCUUAAAGGGUCUCCUCGAGUUCUUCGGUUGUUUGUGUUAUCGGUGUCUAGAGAUAUAAAUUUAUUUUGCGGUAAUUGAAAUUAUGAAAUAUAUUGAAUCGUCGUCGUGGAUUACCACUUGAUGUAUAGUUUUUAACUUUUCGAGUGCUUUGAGUAUUCGUGAAUUGGCUACUAAGUAAUCCCGGAGAGUUACCAGGUAUACGGAUGGUUGGUCGUUGGUUCUGUUGAACAAUAAUAUGAGUUCUUUUCAAAAUCAUUUUCAUGCCCUUAGUUUCAAUCGUUCCCGUGUCUUUUUUUUUUCCUCCUUUGCAUUUAAUUGUUUUUUCCUUCUUGUGGCACAUCAGUUAUAUGAUCUGAUUUUUAUUUUAGGUACUAUGGAGGUUGGGCUGCGCCUAAUAUAUACUUCUUAGGCGUUGCUGGUGUAGUCAAGUUUGGAAAUAUCCGUAUCGGUGGGCUAUCUGGGAUCUAUAAUGAACGCCAUUAUCAUUUAGGUGAGCGAACAACUUUCUAUCAGUUAUUUUAUAUAGACGUAAAAUAAUGUAAGGUAGUUAUCUGAGUUGAUUAGCAAUAGCAUUCAGUCAAGGUUUUCUUUUGUUCCUUUCUUCAUCUGCAUUAAUGGCCUUGAGUGAGAAUUGCUUAAAUAGUGCAUAGCUGCAUCAUCUAUAGAUAGGUUUGUUUUAGUGUGGGGCUUUUAUCGCUGAGUUCUUUUGAGGAGGCUCUCACAUUUUAUUAGCUUUUGAGGAAUCGGUCUUAUUGGUAAAGGUUUUGGAAGUGAAUCCAUUGGUGGGUAGCUUACUAACUCAUUAGUUUUAAAAAUAUAUGAAGUUGUGCCUACUGGGAGUAUGUUCAGCUUAUUUAGAAAAGUUGACAUUCAUAUGUACAGUUGCACUUUUCUAUCUUUGUGUUGCCUGUUCUUUUACUGCAAUAACUGCUUAACUAAAUGCAACAAAAUCUUCUUCCCAUGCAAUGAGCAGGUCACCAUGAGAGGCCUCCAUAUAAUGAGAAUACUAUAAGAUCUAUUUACCAUGUUCGUGAAUAUGAUGUUCAGAAGCUUAUGCAAGUUGAGGAACCCAUUGACAUUUUUCUUUCUCAUGAUUGGCCACUUGGCAUCACUGAUUAUGGAAACUGGAAGCAACUUGUUAGAUUUAAACCAUUUUUUGAGAAGGAGGUAACUAAAAAUAUUUUGAUACCACCUUUUUACAAAACCACUUUUUAACGUGCGUGCAUACUGCUUAGUAAUUUUCUACUUGAUAUUUGGCAUAUAUGUAAUUUCUUUAAUUGUGGCUUGAAUGUAAGAUUUUUAUUACUAACAUGUUGAGGGUAUCCACCUCUGACAUGAAUUUAUAUGUUGCCACUUUUCAUCAUCAGAUUAAACUUGUUGCAGUUGAUGUGAAAAGCAUCAUAUCUGCUACAUCUAUCCAUCGCUCUUUAAUUCCAUCAACCUACUAAGAUUUACUCAUAAAAAAACCAACGAGUAUUUUAGUAAUGUACUUGAUUAGUUCUUGGCAGAGUGUGAAAGUGAAUGUUAGAAGAGGAUUGUGCAAGUGCUAUUAAAUUUAAUAAAAGCUUGUUGAAAUCUCAAAAUUGAAACCUAGAUUGUAAGAACUAGAUCUGUUGUAAAGCAGAAGCAAUGAAACUGGACCUAGAAAGCAUUAGUAAAUUGAACGUAUAAAUCUCAAAGAUCCUCGAGGAAUUAGACUUAUAUUUCUUCACAGGUUGAAGGAUCCAACAUAUUAGCAGUAGAAUGGUCUCUGGUAGAAUUUAAGCAGAUACCAGAUAAAAUAUUUCAAAUUUUCUGUUUGAUUUUGACCUUAGUACCAGUAAACUCAUGUACUAACUUUAAAUGCCAGAUUCAGGAAAAAAGUCUUGGGAGUAAGGCUGCAGCUGUGUUGCUGGAGAAGUUGAAACCACCUUACUGGUUUUCUGCCCAUUUGCACUGUAAGUUUGCUGCUCUUGUUCAACAUGGUGAAGGCGGCCCCUUGACAAAAUUUCUUGCUCUCGACAAGUGUCUUCCUAGACGCCAAUUUUUACAGGUACUUUAUUUUUAUUUGAAUUUCUUAUGAAAAAUUAUUUGAAUUUCUUAAUAGUUAUUCAUAGGGUCCCUUUUUGGUCUUCGUGAUUUCAAAGCUUUAACUGUGGGCACGUGGUUUUUUAGGUUAUUGAGAUUGAAUCAGAGCCUGGACCUUACGAGAUACAUUAUGAUGAAGAAUGGUUAGCAAUAACACAAAGGUUCAAUGAAAUUUUCCCUUUAACAGCAAAAAAUGCAAAUUACGGGUGAGUAUGCUUUACAAGAACAUAUUUUGAAGAUCUGAUUGGACAAUACAACAUUUUUUUUCUUGUUUGUGGGCUAAUUGCAGUAUGAGUUGUAACCUCCAUUUUGCAAUAUCAGAAAUAUUAAGCUAGAAAUGGAAGAUUGUCGACAAUGGGUCAAAUCUAGAUUAAAAGAAAGAGGAACAAAACCUUUUGAUUUCGCUCAGACAGUUCCUUGUUAUGAUCCAGCAAGAUCUAUCUCCAACAGUACACUUGCUGGUAAUUUGAAUAUAUAUAUUUCAUUUGAGUUUUAUCUGUGUCAGUAGAAAAGUUUGGACGUCUACUUUCCCUUUAUAGGGGUAGAUAGUUUUUGGGGAUCAUGUUUGAGAAGUUUCAAUUGCUUGCCAAUUUUUUGCCAGAUGAUGAAUAGCUAAAGAACUUUGCAUCUUGUGUUCUUUGUCUAGUUCACUCUGCUAGUUACCAGGGAAAAUGGAUUUCGUUUUCAAUGUCUUGAUUGAAUCACUUGUUGUCUAUCACAGGAUAUCCUCGAAAUCCCCAGACUGAAUCUUUGCUGAAGUUUCUUGAACUCCCUUAUCUUCUUGAUGACAUGACAAAAUCUGAUGGGCCAUCAGGGAGUUCUAUUCCUUCAUCAGUCAGUGGUAAAUUAUUUAUCUUAUCCCUUGGUUCAUUUGAUGCUUGAUAACUUCUUAGAGUGAGUAGUUUUCUUCUGCUAUUGAUUUAUGUACUUAUCAUAGAUCCAUCUAGUCGUCGUUCAAAGUAAAUGAAACCAAGAACACUCGAGUAUCAUUCUAAUGGGAUGUAGUUGCUUCUCUGAAUUCCUCUAAGGCCUGUAGUACUGAAAAAAACUAAUCUAAUCCGGUGCCUUCCUAACGGGUGGAUGUGGAUUCCAUAAACUAAUGUCCUUGAUAACCACUGGACAUAAAUUUGAAGUACUAAUGGUAAAAGACUAUCAACCACAUUGUGGUGGUCUCACUGAAUAUUUUCUCGUAGUAUUGCGACCUUGGAUUUUGGUGUAUUGUAUCGGAUUACAUGUUGUAGAUUCACAAUUUUCAAAUAGAAAAUUCGUUCCAGCCCACAUAAUGAUAAGUUUUCUGUAAUAUUUAUGGAUGUAGGUUCGUUCUUUGAUAGUGAAGACAUUCCAAUUGAUGAUAUAGAUGAUGUGGAAGGUGAAACUGCCGAACCUGAAGACGCAUAAACCCUGAAUCUGAGCAAUGACACCAAAAUCUUCCUCAGUGAAUUAAGAUUUUACCAUUUACUUUAUGCUAAAAUUGUAUAGAAUGGGCUCUCUCUUCCCACUUAAUUAUAUAUAUCCCAUUUACAUAAACGCGAAGGGGUUGAGCCUUUCUUUACCAAACUCUUCUUAGAACACUUUUUAUUCACCCAGAGAGAGAGAUUGAUGAUCUGAUAUGUACAGAAUGAAAAUGAAAUUUUCUGUUCUACGAUAACUUUUAGGAAAGCCUUUUAUUUGCUUUCUCUUCGAUGAAACUUUCAUUUUUUUCAGAAUGUAUCCUAAUUUUUGGCCGAUUGUUUAAAAGUAUCAUGCUUUCUAGAGAAUUUUCAUUGUCAAGAAUUUUAACAUCUUUAAAUUGGAUUGUAUUUGCUAAGCUCUAAGGCAUGUGAUCUCUUUGAUUCAUAAAGAUGUAUUAUUAUUAUUAUUAUUUGAGAUGUCAAGUAGGAUGAUUCAAACUUAUAACCUCAAGUUAUAUUUAGAUCUUCAAGGUAGUUUCAACUUUUCCAAAAAUGUUAGUAAUUUUGAAGCAAUAACAAAAUUUAGGAGUAUUUUUCUAUACUUUUAACCUUGAAAAAUGAUUCCUAGAGGGAAUUCACAGUAAAAUAAUGUCUAAUUUUAAAAACUUUUAAAAAUUAGUAAAUGUGUAUAAAGGAAUGUAUUUUACACUUUUUGAACACAAAUUAAAGUGUUUGUAUUUAUAUUGUAUUUCUUAGAGAAAAGUGUUUUACUUUUCAAAUUUCAUCCCUAACAUUCGAAUUAAAAGACAUAUUUUAGUCAAUGAAGUUUGAGAAAUGUUUAGUUGAGUAAGUAAUUGAUACACAAAUUUUAUUACUUUCAUAUAAUUUUUUCGAUUAUAAAUUUUGUCAGUUGAGAAGAAGGGCUGGUCCGAUUGCUUUACAUCAUCGAUCCCAAGAACUCUUUGAUUCUUUUUGUCAAAAUUGGAUUCAUCAUUUUGUUCUUCAGAAUUCUUGAAUUGAAGGAUUGGUUCCGUUUCCAUUUCUGCUAUCAUAUCCUGUUUAGUUACCAUAUUCGUCCCCGUUUGACUCAGUUACGUUCUGUUUCUUUGCCUUUUGGAAUACAGAGUUUGGCUACCCAUGAAUGAGGCCAUUGUCAGCAGUUGGGACAUCAUUUCGAGCUUUGGCCAAUCUUUUGUUAAACCAUUCUCUGGCCGUCAAAUUGGGUACCAUUGCAGACGUUUACACUUGCAACAAUAUCCUCAAUGGGUAUUGGAAAUGCAAAGAGUUACGAUCUGCAGAUGUACUGUUCGACGAAAUGCCGAUGAGAGACUCUGUAUCAUGGAAUACGAUGAUCGCGGGGCAUAUAAACUGUGGAAACUUGGAGGCUUCAUGGGAUGUUCUUAGGUGCAUGAGAAGUUGUGGUUUUGAGCUGGAUAGAUAUACCUUUGGAAGCAUGCUGAAAGGCAUUGCUUUUGCUGGAAUGUUUCAUUUGGGUCAGCAAGUACAUUCUAUCAUCAUUAAGAUGGGUUAUGCUGAAAAUGUAUAUGCAGGGAGUGCUCUCUUAGAUAUGUAUGCAAAAUGUGAGAAACUUGAGGAUGCAUAUUUGUCGUUCUUAAGUAUAUCAAAACACAACACUGUUUCGUGGAAUGCAAUGAUUAAUGGAUAUGCUCAAGCCGGUGACCGUGAGACCGCAUUUUGGUUGUUAGAUUGCAUGGAGCAAGAAGGUGAGAAGGUUGAUGAUGGCACAUAUGCUCCUCUUUUGCCUUUGCUUGAUGAUGCUGACUUCUGUAACUUAACAAGCCAACUCCAUGGAAAAAUUAUAAAACAUGGAUUGGAACUUGUUAAUACAAUGUGUAAUGCCUUGAUCACUUCUUAUUCAAAAUGUGGAUCCCUUGAUGAUGCCAAAAGGAUUUUCGAUAGUUCGGCAGGCAUUCGGGAUUUAGUUACAUGGAACUCCUUGUUGGCUGCUUACCUGUUGCGUAGUCAGGAAGAUCUUGCUUUUAAACUCUUGAUUGACAUGCAAGAACAUGGUUUUGAACCAGACUUGUAUUCAUACACAAGCAUCAUCAGUGCUUGUUUUAACGAAAAUAUUAGCAAUAAUGGUAGAUCCUUACAUGGGUUGGUGAUAAAGAGAGGAUUUGAACAGUCGGUGCCAAUUUCAAAUGCAUUGAUUUCUAUGUAUCUUAAAUCAGACUAUGGCUCAAUGAAAGAAGCCCUAUGUAUAUUUGAAUCCUUGGAGUUUAAGGACCGUGUGUCUUGGAAUUCAAUCUUAACUGGAUUAUCACAAACGGGGUCGAGCGAAGAUGCAGUGAAGUCUUUUCUGCAUAUGAGAUCUGCAGCAAUGGACAUUGAUCACUAUUCCUUUUCUGCCGUACUCAGAUCAUGUUCAGAUUUGGCUACAUUUCAAUUGGGACAACAGAUUCAUGUCUUGGCACUUAAAUACGGUUUGGAGUCCAACGAGUUUGUUUCAAGUUCUUUAAUCUUCAUGUAUUCCAAGUGUGGAAUUAUUGAAGAUGCUAGAAGAUCAUUUGAAGAGGCUUCAAAGAACUCUUCAAUCACUUGGAAUGCACUUAUGUUUGGUUAUGCUCAACAUGGUCAGUGCAAUGUUGCAUUAGACCUCUUCUUUCUAAUGGAAGAAAAAAAGGUGAAAAUGGAUCACAUAACCUUCGUUGCAGUUCUGACCGCCUGUAGCCAUAUUGGUUUAGUAGAACAAGGCUGCAAAUUCCUGCGGUGUAUGGAAUCUGAUUAUGGCGUUCCUCCACGGAUGGAGCACUAUGCUUGUGCAGUUGAUCUAUACGGGCGUUCUGGACGUCUUGAAGAAGCCAAGGCCUUGAUUGAAGAAAUGCCAUUCAAACCAGACACCACCGUGUGGAAGACAUUCUUGGGCGCGUGCCGCUCUUGUGGCAACAUUGAGUUAGCUUGUCAGGUUGCAGGCCAUCUGCUAGAGAUGGAGCCUGAAGAGCAUUGCACUUAUGUUCUUCUCUCAAACAUGUAUGGAAAUUUAAUGAGAUGGGAUGAGAAGGCCAAAGUGAAAAGGCUAAUGAAGGAAAGAGGAGUUAAGAAAGUCCCUGGUUGGAGUUGGAUUGAAGUUAACAACAAUGUACAUGCUUUCAUUGCACAAGAUCAUUCUCAUCCCAGUUGCCAACAGAUCUACUUUUUGCUUGAAGUACUUUUGGAGGAAAUCACAAGAAUGGAAGAUGCUGAUGGUUUUAAGAGUUUUCUGGAGCAGGAAGAAUUAAGCUAUGCAAAUGCAUAAUUCGACCUUAUUAAGGACUUAGAAAGUGAAUUCAAACAAAUUGAUCUUGAUUAACAGGGGAGCGGAGCAGUGUUUCAAACACAAGUUUCGUUCUCUUGAGGCCAUGGAAGUUCAAAAGUAAAAGUGGGUUGGUUUAAGUUGAAUUUGGCCAACAAAAUUGACCGUUUUGAAAUGUUGAGUUGAUUAAAUUAAUGGAAGCCAACUUCAAAAUUGAAGUUGACUAACUGAUGCUUUAUAGUUUUAGAUGUUGUGAAACUAUACCGUGUUAUUUUAACUUAGAAGUAUAAUCUCAAACCGAUGAAAGUGAUUCAAUUUGUUUAGACUUAUUUGAUAUGAUAAUGAUUUACUCUGCCUUUCAAAUUUAUGUUUGUUGUUUUUAUAUUUUUAAACAAUUUUAGUUUUAGUGAAAUUCUAAGAGUAAAUGAAACACCUUCCAACUUUUUUCGAUAGUUUUCAAAAGCUGAUUUAGUUUUCAGUAUAAAAGAAACACGUGAUAAUUUCAUUUUUACCUUUUUUUUUUUUCUCUUUCAAAAUUUAUAUUUGUUUAUUUCUAAGUUUCUGUCAAAUGGGGCAUAGUAAUUUUCAUAAGCAUUUUAACUUCUCUGUUCUUAUAAUUAAAUAUCAUAAAUUCCACCGAAUUAAUUGAUCUUUUAUAUCUUAACUUUAUUGUUGUUAUUACUAUUAUUUAAAAAGAAAAAAGAAAAGAUUAACGUGGGUAUAGAGUCAAACAGCUUUAAAGAUAUAUACCUAAACCUAAACCAACAAACAAAUCCAUUAAACUAUACAUUUUUGACUUUAACAAUUUGAGACAAGAAAAAGCUGCUUGAAAAAUAACCCCAUAUAUUAAUAAUUAAUCAUAAGAAAACUUAGAACGUUGCAGUAUGUAUUAUGCUUAUCAUGACAUUGUAUUGAUUUGUCGAUCCAAACACAAUUUAAUAGAUAAACUACUUAACUAAUUAAGUGUUAACUCGAAAGUUUUUAGUUCCAUUCUCCAAGCUUCAUUUAUUAUUGAACUUCACGAAGGAUCCAUAAUUUUUAUUCGGAGAUUUAGAAUAGCCAAUGACCGAUUACUCAAUCAAACACAAAUUCAAAAUUUUGUUUAAAGACUAAACUACUAAUUUAGUCCUAAAAUUAAAUACAUAUUUAAUUGUGUUCUCAUGCUCAAUAUAAUUAAUAUAGUGAAGAAUUGUGUGGAGCAUUCUUGAAGAUAGUCAUUUCAAUAAUUAACAUAACUUUAUUUUAUACUAAUACAAUAAAAUAUUAGAAUCGAAGGCAUAAGGACCCAGAUCUAUGAUAAGUUCGUCCUUGGUUGAAAUCAACUUGAAUGUUAGAGUUGAAGAAGGCUUAAGAUCCCGACCUAUAUAUAUAGUAUUGAAUUAUUGUGUUCUAAUUUAGUAGUAACCUUCCCAAAAGAGAAUCUUCCCAAAAGAAGAUAUCAUAAAUUUUUGUCCUUCUGUGACAGUAACACACCAAACCAAACUUUUCAUUUAAAGCCCACAUUCAUAAACCAAACAUUCAUUACCAAUCAAUCAAUAGUUUAUAUACACUGUUCCCUUCAAGCUAGACUUCUUUGAACUACAGCCUACCAUUCAUAUUUUACAUUCAGUAUAUAGAUUCAUAUAAAUCAUGGUUUUAAUGAGGGAUAUAACUAAUAGUCUAUCUUAUCACAUUCAAUUGGCAAAUACAAAUCCUAUAAACUUGAAAAGAAAAACAUAUUGAACUAACAACCAAAAGAUAUGUAGUUGAUUCCCCUAAUAAGCAAACUUAGUCUCAAACAUCUUUACUACUUGUUACAGAAAUUUAACUUACUUGGAGAUAUUUUUGUUUUGUUUUUCAAUCUCUUAUGGGAUUUUAGAGAAUGAGUUCCACCCCGUUCUUGGCUCCAAAAACUUUGUUACCCAUAAAUCAUAUGAAUUCUAACUCAAUAUAUGUGGAGGAAAUUCUCCCAAAUAAAAUGAGGCUGUCAUGUGGAUGUAAUCUAAAGCCCACAUUUGGAGUGAAGGUUUUUUUGGCUUUAAUUUCUAAUACCAAACUCGUUUCCUUUUCACAUUUUUAACCCAACUCUCUUUUCCACCCAUUUUUUAGGAAUCCUAAUUACAUUUCAACCUAAUGAAUAGGCACUACUACACGAACAUCACUCCCCUAUUAAGGACUGAGAAGCUAACAUUUUUAACACUCAACAAGAAAACAUCAUGAUCAUCCACAAAGAAACAAAACAAAAUUACCCAAGAAGAAAGAGUUGAAAUUCUUUAUGGAAUGGCAAAGGCCAUGAAACGAAAACUAUCCCAAGAAGAAAGGGUUAAAAUUCUUUAUUCAAUGCUAAAGUUACAGAUAAAUGUUUAAAGAUGGACCAUAUCACUGUUGUUAGGCCCACAACAUACUCAACGUUCCAAUACACCUCAACUACCCCAUUCCAGAAACUGCCAACCGACGGAAAAUCGCCGCCGUUGCUGUCUCCGUCGCCGUCCCCACCACCAUAGACGGCAUUUAAACAGGCCAUUUGUAAUCAUACAAAUGUCUGGCAAACAGACUCUAAUGGAGGAACGUUAUUCCACCGCCCGUCUAAGAAUUAUAAUCAAACAAACUCUAUUGUAGAACAAAAACCUGUGGUGUGUGAUUUUGAAAGCAAGAUAUAAUUUCGAUUCAAUUUCAGAGAAAUUUCAAUUAGGCAAAUAAUCUCGAGCAUUUUCCAAUUAUUAUCUACAAUCAUGAAUCCGGCUAGUAACCUUCUAUAUUUUCCAUCUACGAAUCUAUCAUUUCAAGGCUGAAAGAAAUUUUACUCAUGAACUGAGCAAGACUCGGAAAUUUUACCGCCAAUUGAAUCGAAUCAGUUAUCGUCUUCGUCGCCAGGUUUGUGGUGAUUCACCUUUGCACAUGAUACUCCACGCGCCAAUGUCGGCGCCUCUACGACAGUCGCCGACGACAUCUCCAUCUGGCAAAUCCGGACGGCGCCGAACAGUCUUUCUGGCAACUCCUCCUCCGUCUGUCCCUCCACCAGAAAUCCCAUAUCUACUGUAACAUUAGUGACACAACCAAGCGCGAGAUGCAAAAUCGCACUGGCUAACUUUGAGCUUCCCAUAUCUACGUCAAUUUCCAAAUAGUUAGGCCCUCUGUGGUAAUUGCACGUCAAUGCCUUCCCUAACAAACACGCACUGUAAUUUCCUACCGCUUUCUUCACAAUCCAUGGACCUUUCACGAUCCGAUUCACCAAUUUCAACCGUUGAUUUCUGAAAGCAUCAUCGCCAUUGAUGAAUCGAUGAAGAAGCGAGCCAGACGGAAUUGGAUCUUCAGUAGCAAAGUAAAACACGGCACUAUACUGAUCCUUCCCAGGGACUUGAAUGUUAACCGCAAUAAUGAAGCUCUUCAUCGACUUACCUAGGGCUUGCGCUCUCCUCAAAGCUUGCGCAACUCGAUUAUCAGGACGAGCGAGAACGUUAUCAAGCUUGGUACUAGAUUUCAACCAAUCAACACCAACAGGAGAAAGUAAGUAAUCACCAGACGGCGCUUUCUUCCCUUUCGUCAAGUAGUUCUUAGAACGAAGACAAAAGAGAUCCCCAGGCGGUGAGGCCCAACCAUUAAUCCCUGUGUUCAGGUCGACAAGGCGUAAGGAACCACCAUCGAUCGUCUCCGAAAUCCAAUCCACCGUCGCAGUGGACUCUCCAUGUUCCGAACAGCUUUCGGCCGGUUCUCCUAUCAAGGUCCGGUGAUUUUGGUUUACCGUCGUGGGGCACAUGGCUUUUCUUCUUUCCCUUCUUACAAUCCUUCUCUCUCUCUCUCUCUAAUAUGGAGUGCUUCCUCUCCUUUUUAUCUCCGGUAGUGAGGGCUGGUAGUGAAAAGUCCAAAUAGGGCUACGGGAAUAAAUAAAUGACCCCCGCUUUCAGUUUAAUUACGUCAUUGCCAUUCUUAUUUUCAACGUAAUUAAUUGCAUAGUUUUUUUUUUAAUCAUCAUUAUUUAUGCGUGGCCUUUGCCGACUUUAUCAUAAUUCAAUGAAAUUAAAUAAGAAAAGAGAGACACGCUUUCUCUCUUUCUUUUUUCCGAUGCACGUGUGUAUUUAAGUCUCUUGAUCUCAAAAUCAAUCCAUUCCUUUAUUUUAAAUCAUUUGAUUUAUCAUCAUUAUUUUUUGGUACACACAAAUUAUUGUUUACUCCUCAUCUUAUAUUUAUGGUACAAUUUUACAUGUCAAUUUGAAAUAUAAUUUUGUACCCAAAACAUUUAUUAGAUUAAGAAUAUGACAAGUAGGGAAGAAUCUUAUCGAGCACGUGGAGAUGAUUUGUGUUCGGGUUUGUAUUUUUUUUAGUGGAUUUUAAUUAUGGGAAGGGAACUCACACGAUCUAUCCUAUCUACCAACUUUGAAGAUAUUGAAAUUUUGAUUGAUCUUUCAGAUCUUAAAGAUAGAAAAUCAUCAAAUUUUUUUAAGGUGUGGUGUUGAAAGUAAUUAAUAGUGUUGUUGUCUUGCAUGAAUCACUUUUCAAUUGAAUUUGUGAGCAUUGUGAUCUUGAUGGUUAGGCAAACUUAGUGGUUUCGUGGUGUGAUAUGUGUGGGAGUAUAUGAAUUUUCUUAGUUGUGGCAAUUCAUCGUUGGAUUUCUUCACUAACGUCAUGAGUAACAUUGUUUUUUUAUAAUGCAACUAAUCUAAGGUCUAGUUGGACUUGGCGAGAUCAUUAAAGAAAUAAUAGUUUGAUUUAAUUAGAUGCAAAGCGGUUGAACAAGAGGCAAUCAAGAUCGAUUUCUUGAUGUUAGCCCUUUUUACCCCUUAUUAGUGGAAUCUAAUUUUCUUGAGGUUAUUCAACUUUUAAAUAAAGAGAUUAAAAAUCUAGAGGUGUUAAAUUAGUAGUUCAUGAGAUUAUCGUUGAUUGAGACAAUAGUUAUGAAUAAUAAAUAAGACAAUAAUUAUGGAUGAUUUUCAUUAUAUUGAUCAACUCCUUCAUAUUUUAUAGGUCAUAUGAGUUUGUCAAUAGAACAAUAACGUUUGAGGAGAUUUAUAGACAAUAACACAAGAUUUUUUUAAUUUAAAUCUUUCUCCUUAUUGAGGAGGAGACCCGUUCUUUAACUGGGUAGGUUUCUUUCUCCAUUUUCUUCUAAGGCCAUGUAAAUGAUUAAUGACAAUAUAUAUAUAUAUAUACAACUUAUGAAUGUUGAUAAUUAAACCUUUUGAAUCCUUUACAAAAAAAAAUACAACAUUUGACUCUUCAUUGAGAUCAUCUAUAUUGGAGUCACUCCAUGACUUAAUUAAAAGACAGAUUCCAAAUUUUUGCAAAUAAUGAGAGUGGCAUGAUUACCAAAUUUUGUGGUGUGUAUAUAUAUAUAUAGUAAAAAUAGAUAUGUGAAAACCAAGUGCUUCAACUAGUUUUUUUAAUAUUUGCAAAACUAUCACAAAAGAAAAAGAAAAAAAAAAACAUAUUUUUUCAUACUGGGAAAGUUAAAUAAGAAAGGUAAAUUAUGAAAUAUGGUUUAAAAUGUUGUAAAUGAAAAAGAAAAGAAAAGAAGAUAGAAAGAAAAAUGGAGAAUGAAAACAAAUAGAGUUAAAGAAAGAAAGAAUGAUGAUACGACAAUAAUGGUCCACUUUUAUGAGUUGGAAAACGAAGAGGAUGCGUUGGAAAAUCACCCACCCACCGGCUCUGCCCUUUCUUUUUCCCUAAAAUACCCCAUUUGGGAUGGAUGGCUUUGGAUGCAAAUUCCACCAAAUGCUGGGGGUACAUUCGGAAAGUAAAGGAUUGAUCACACGGCCUCGAAAUUAACGAUGACGAUAGCGACACGUGGAAGGGAAAAGAAAAAGGGGGAGGGUGGGGAUAAGAAGUGGCAUUAAUGACGCACAUUUGAAAUCAGCUUGUUUGAGUAAAAUGGUCGAAAUCGGAAAUUCCACUUUACCCAUUUGGCCAUCAAUUCUACUUCCUCACUCAACUCAAUCUAAAAUCAUCUUCUAAAAAUUAAUCAAAUAAAUAUAUACUAUCCUAUUUUAGCCCUUUUAUUUUUUUCUCAUUACCUGAAAAUAAGGAUUUUCUAUAUAUAUAAGUUUUAAUAAUUAGCCUUAAAAGUAGUUGAAAUCUAUACAAUAAUACACAAUUUAAUUAAUGAUGUGUUAAAUAGCAAAUGAGUGGUGUAUAGAAAUAGAAAUUUUGUGUAGGGUGAAAGAAAUAAAUGGGUUGAUUGUUUUUAAAUUUUAAUAAUUAAAAUUAUGAUGGUCAAAACCUUGAGAUUAGGAAAACACAUGUAUUUUUAUUUCCAUAAGAAAACAAAUCAUUAAUUAUAAUUUAUUAGAAUUUAGAAAAAGAAAAACAUGUUAUUGGGAAUAGGUUGAGUUGCACAUUGAAUUUUGUAGCUUAAAAGACGAAAACACAACUUAUUAUAUAUUUAGUAAUUGUAAUUGUGUUUGUGUUUACAACUACCCUAUUGGUUAGUGACAUCUGUUGCCUCCCACUAACAAAACACACUUUUUAUAUAAUAAAAAAGUUAUAGUUCAAAGCUUUAAGAUUGGACUAUUUUGACUUCUUCAUUGGAUUUUGUAACUUUCUCCUUUAAAAUCCACAUUAUAUAUAUUAUAUCUAUUUACAAAAACUAUAAAAUUAUUAAAAAUAGUAAAUUUGAUAAAAUAUUUACAAAUUAAAGUAAAAUUUCAUAUUCUAUCGGUUAUUCUUCUAUCUGUCAUAUAUAUUUUAUACAUGGAUAUAAUAAAAAGAAAUUAUUAUAUCUUUAAAAUAUUUUAAUUUGUUUGGCUAUUUUCAAAAAGGUUUAUUUAAAAAUUUUACUUUAUGCAAUGGAUAAUAAGUUUUCUUGUAAAAUUUGUAUUUUAGUUAUUUAUUUUAUAUAUUUAUCUAGAAGUUAACGUUUAGUUGAGUUUUUAAACUUAUAAAGGUAAGCGUCAAGUACUUACUGUAGACAAUAAUUGAGUGUAUAACGUCGUUUAAUUUGAAAGAAUUAUUGAUUAGCAAAAACUAUUAGUCGAUAGAUUUGUAUAAACAAUAUAGUUUAUUAUUGACAACUAUGAUUUUUAUUUUGUACUGUGUUAUGCCUACAAAUAUUUUAACAUUAUUUACUAUAUUUAUAAACUAUCCCUAAAUGUAAUUAGAUAUUGUUAGAUAACACAAUAUUAAUUUACAAAAUCUUAGACAAAAUAUAUCAAAUUAUGAUUUAUUUUCUUUAUUUUCUUGAUUAAGUUUUUGUAUAAUUUGAGGACUAUUAUAAUUUUAUCAUAACUAUUAAUUAUAUAUAAAUUAUUUUAAAAUUAAUUUCGAGGAUCAAAUGUACCUCUUACUUGGAUUAAAAAAAUAUUUUUUCUAUUUUUAAUAACAUUGUAUAUUUUAAGACACAUAUUAUGAUGAAGAGAAUAGAGAUUAUAAUCCACAUAUCCACUUAUAGAUGAAGUUUGGACAUAAAUUAUGUUUAAUUCAUAGAGCUGCUUUUAGAAAACAAUUUAUAAAUACAAGAAAAAACUUAAUGCAUUAUUAAAAUAAUGAAAACAUAUAAAUCACGAAUAAUAAAGAAUCAAUUGACAUUGACUCAUAAUAUUUUAGAGUGUCGUUUUUUAUGCUAAGAUAUUUAUUUAUUGAUAUGACAUACAAUCAUGCAUACUUAUUAUUAUUAUACAAACUUUAUAAUCUAAUAAUCAUCCACAUAAAUAUUUGUGUGGCUUAUUGUUAAUAUACUUUUUAUGUCACAUAUACUAGAGAAGCAAGUUUGAUACAAUUAGUAGCUUUCAAACACAAACGUUUACAUUUCCCUUUCACGAUUAUGUCACCAAAAUAAGCCUUUAAUAUAUUUGGCAUGUCAUCAAAUUUUGGGGGAAAAAAAUUAAUGUAUUUUGAAUGGUCUAGAAAGUUGCAAUGUUUUCGUCUUUAACUUCCAAAUCAGUAUAUAUAAUUUAUAGCUUUUAAAAAGAAAACAAAAAAAGGUAUAUUUGUCAAAUCAAUCGUAAUUAGGUAUAAUACUAAUUAUACUAAUCAAUCUUUUGACCGUUGGUUGGGUUUCCAAAUUUUGCUUAUCUUUGCAAAAGUGAGAAGUGGGUGUUACUUUUGCAAACUCUUAAUAUACAUAUACUCAUAAGUUUGGACAUGUUAUUUCUUUUUUAAAUUAUUUCACUUGUGUUUAGGGUUAGAGAGUAGGGGUUGCGUGGGCGUGUGUGGGUCUAUUGGAAAAGAUUAGAGUAAAAGGUUUUACCUUUUUUCUCUGAUCUUCCAGAGUAAGCCAGACUAUGCUUUAAGACAAUGUCGAAAAGAGAUGAAUGGAAAAAACAAAAAGUAUAUCCAAUAUCUUCACGUGUUAAUUUUUCAUUCAUUCCCUUUCAAGUAUUUUUUCAUUCACAAAAUUGAAAGGCUGCAGUGCAUUGUUUGGUGUAAUAUAUUACAGAAACCAAUUUUUAUACCCAUUUUAAUUUCUCUCUUGCUUUCAUAAUGCUUUGCAGCAAUUAAGAGGAAUUGAGUUUCAUUUGUGUUUACUGCAAUUUAAUUCAGAAAUUACAAGCUUUUUACCAAUAAUAAUAGUAAUAAUAAAAUUGCCUUCUUUCUUUGACCACUCAAAUACUUAUUCAUAAUUCAAUUUCUUUUCUUUCACCACUCAAAUACUUAUUCAUAAUUCAAUUUCUUUUAUUAAUGGCAUGUUUUGAUUAUAGAUUUGAAGACGAAUUCCAUGGUUCUAAACAAGCGCAAUUAAAUGCAACCCACAUGAAAAGCAUUGAUUUAAGUACCGUGGCCUAAAACCUUGUUUUGAGAAAGUCACGUCACAUAACAGUUUAACUCAAUAUUUUAGAUCAAUCUAUCACAAUGCUCUCAAAGUGGUGAGUAGUUGCUCUAUUUUCUUCAACAAAAAAGCUCAACCAACAAAUCAACUGACAGUUCAAUCAGUUUAGUGAAAAGAAAAUAGCACUUCACAGGCUUACUCAUACUACCAAGAAUAAAAAUUAUCCUAAAGCACUCAGACCAUCAGAUGGCUAAAGAAAAAAAAAAUCACCAGAGUAAUAAUACCAAAAUAUGUUGAUGGUCUUGAAUAAGGUAACUCUAGCAAUGGAGAAUCGCCUAUCAAACAAACUAACAUGAAGAGAAAGGAUCAAUUGAUGUUAUAAGUCAUGGGAUCUGCCUUAGCUGGAAAAGCAAGAUUAUGACAACAUUGCAAAAAGUACAAGUAAGAUUGCUUGGACAGACAGCUAGAAUCCCUUUGUGAGAAAGAACCACAACCACAUUUUUAUAAAUCAAAUUUCUUACCACACAUUGCCUCUACUAAUGCCAAGGAAAAGUGAGAAAAUUAGAACAUAUUUCUUUCUUUUUUUCAAUGUAAAUGAGAUUCUUCUACCAGUUAUGUAUGAACUUUAACAUGUAAAUGGAGAAAGAAAUAUGCUAGUGUUGUUGAGGUAAAUGGUGCUUUGAAAGUGACAGCCUCUCAUUGAACAAACUAAAGGGACAAAUUUCUUCUUCUUUUUGUUUAACAGAAAAUAUAUAGUUUUAUUGACAAGAUGACAGAUUAUACUUUAGAAUAGGGUGACAACAAAAAUAUUUUUCAUGAUAUGGGCAUUCUUAAAUCUAUUUGAUAAUUAAAUUAAAAAGAUUUAGAUGAAAGAUAUUAAUGUAAUAAAAAAAUACACCGAGGUCCUAAUUUAAAAAUUAUUUUCUUAAAUAGGAAAGAUAAUAUUUUAGAGACAAUUAUAACUUUUAAUUCAUUAUUAAUUAUAUAAUAUAAAUAUUAAUUGGAUAUUAUAUUCAUAAGAUUAUUUUAAAAAUUACCUUAUUUAAAAUGAUUUGAAUUUAAUAUGAAUUCGAUAUUAUAUUCAUAAGAUUAUUUGAAAACUUACCUUAUUUAAAAUGAUUUGAAUUUAAUAUGAAUUCGAUCACUUCCAUACAUUUAUUUGAUUAAUUAGUAUGAUAAUAAAUUUCAAGUAUCUUUUAAAUUAAUUAUAAAUUAAAAUAUAUUAUAAUAUUUAUAAUUUUUUUUCUAAUUUGUAAUAAACUGUUUAUAUAUUCUUUCCAAAAUUAUAUCUUUAUUUAAUUCAAUCAUAAAAUUUGAACUUCUUAUUACAUUGUUUUCUCAAUUUGCAUUCAAAUUUCUCAUAACCGUAAGCUGUAAAAUCUUAAUAAGUAUGUACAAUUCUCCAUCACUUGAAUCUACGAUAAAGUCCACAGUAAAUCAUUUGUUCUUUUACCCAUUUAAAAUUAAAUAGUUAAACAAUAAAACUACCUGAUUAGUCUAUUCUUUUACCCAUUUAAAAUUAAAUAGUUAAACAAUAAAACUACCUGAUUAGUCUAUUCAGAGUAUAUUAUAUCGUAUAUAUUAACAAUAUACCCCUCAUUCUAAUGUUAUUAUGAUGAUUUUAUAAAUAUAUACCACAUAUUAUUUAUGAUUAUACUAGUUUUAUAAUAUUAUCACAUUAUAUAAUAGUUUGUAUAUGUGAUUUAUUAUAUACACACCACAUCUUAUUUAUAUUUAUAUUAAUUUUAUAUAUUACCCGUGAGAUAUAAUAUUUUUAGUUGAUGUUUUAUAUGAUGUAUAUCAUAUAUUAUUUACAAUUAUACUUUAUAAUAAUCUAUAACGAGAGUAUGUCUAAAAAAAGAUUACUUUUUUGCAUUUGCUCAACAACUAGAACAUUCAACAUAUACCCAAAGAAAUUUCCAGAUAUACCCAAUAUCCAUAUGAAAAACCCUCUCCUAAAAAAACUUCUCUUUAAUCUGAUACCUCAAUAAACCCUAGAAUAUAAUACAUGCAAAAUCACAUUUUUGAUUCGUUGCCUAUUCAGACUAAAAUCUUUAAUCUAUAUAAGAUACCAAAUGCAAACUGUGUAUAGAAUAUAUACAACCUAAUCAUGUAUCUUUCGACCGUCGGAAAACAGAUGAACUGGUCGGCCGUUUUAUAAAACCUUCACCAUCGAAAUCGCUUAAACGCUUCAACUUCACGGCUGAAAACCAAAAACUCGAAUCACUUACUUGACUGUCAAGAGGACAAUGAUUUAGUUGAAUAUGAAAAAUGAGAAAACUGUCAAAGAACUUUCCUAUUUUAAUGUUGCACGAUUUCCUUCCAUUUUCUAUAUUAAUAUAAUAUGUAUAUUGUGUGAAAAAACUACCUAAUGUGCAUAUAUGUAAAUUGAACAUAUUUUUGUGUAAUAUUGUAGCUCAUUUAGUACAUUUGUGUAAAAUUUGAUCAAUUUGUGUUUUUAUGGUAAAUUAAACUAUAUGAGCUAAAGACCCGUUAAAUUACAAAGCAGAUCUACGGUCAAAAUUACCGAAAAACAUUCUAGGCAUUAGACAACUUGAUUUGAAGACCCAUUAAUUUUCAAGAAAAGAUGAGCUGGAGAGAGAUAUUUUCACUAAGUGGAUGCUCUAGAGGAAAGGCAAAAUCAAAACCUAAAACCUUUAUAGUGUCUAGCCCGUUGGGCACAACAUGACUUUUCUCAAAGGAUAACCGUCUUUCCUUUUUUUACCUUUGGAAGUCAAGAAGACUUGAAGAAUAUUAAAUCUUAAAAUAGGUAAAUGCCAUGGCUUGAAAUCAUUUAUUUAUUAUUUUCAUGUCAAACUCCCAAAUUUAUCUCUAAUCCUAAGCUGUAUAAGCAAAAAGAAUACCACAAAAUGGUGAUCAUGAGUGAUGACAACUACGAGCACCCAUAUGAAGGAACACACCAUGGCUGGCGUUAGGUGUAAAUGCCUUGCUCCACCUUCUCCAUCAUUCAACAUUGCAGCCAAACAAUGUAUGGACUAUAUCUCAGGAAAGGUAUGGAUGACCAUACAAGUAAGUAUCCUGUUGAGGAUAAUGUCGAAUCAACUAUGAUGUUCACCUAACAGAUAAAGAAUACUUCACACGGGAAUACUUCAGUAGUUCCUUUCCUAACAGAUACACCAAGGAUAAUAGUUCACACACUUUACCCGGGAAAAUACUUAAGUAAAUCUAAGACACAUAUCUAAGGGAGAAAUAAAUCAAAUUCAUAUUAUGAUUCUAUCAAGCCUCAAUUGGUAUUUUUUUGAAACGGAAACAUGCCUCUUUAUUAAUGGUAAUGAGACUAAAGCUCAAAGUACAAGAGAGUUAUACCAAGAGCAAAAAAUACCAAAGGGAAAAUACAAGCUAAAACUAAAACAAAGACUAUACUCGGGUAACAUAAAAAUGAAAUCUAAAAAAACCCGAGCAGAAAAUAACAAGCUAAAAAAAAGCCACUCAAAGACAAUACAAACCUCAAUUGGUAUUGAUCCGGACAAUGAUCUGAUAGGAACUACUGAAGUAUUCUUUAUUGAAUUCACAGAAAAUGCUCGUAAGCAAGUUACAAAAACACUUCCACUCUAUCAAGAAACCCAUUACACACACUAAAACUUCCCUAUCCUCUUUCUGACCUUUCCCGAUAUUUAAACCACUUCCUACUAACUCUCACCUCUAACUAUCCUUGGAUCAUCAUUCAUACAACUGGAUGACUCCCCGACUUGCUAAUAACCAUCCAUGUGCCCCUUUUACCCUUGCGAACGUAAGGGUAUAUAAUAGAGGGCCCAACGUGAUCCUUCACUAAUUAUGGAGGCUUUAGGUAAAUGAGAUUGUGUUAUAAAACGUACAAUUUAGUUUAGUAUAAAACUAUAAGAACUCAUCACAUAAGAAGGAACACAUUCCUCCUUCAUACUUCACAUUUCUUCAUUGCUAGACUAGCCUGUUCGUUGAAAAUAUAUUUUCAUUCAUUAAGUAACACCACUACUUAAACUAAUAUUUAAAAAGCAACAAUCCACCCUAGGUGAUCUCAAGAAGAACGUAAAAGUCUAGCACAACAUCAUAUCGUCCUUUUAAUCUGAAAUUUACGUAGAGAAUUCUUCACUAUGUAUAAUACAAAUAGAGUCUGCAGACCGUCCAAGAAAGAGAAUCUGCAGUAGACAAUUUCAAUCAAAAUUUGACAAGUAACAGAAGUUUGACAUUAUUUGCUAACUAUGCUAGGAGAAAACUAAUGGAGCUCUUAGUCCACAGGGAGCAGCAGUAAUCCAUUUCUCCAUGGAACAAGAAGCAGAAUCAGUUACUCUUCAUGUGAGAAUGAAAGCAGGGUAUACGCUCCUAACUGUUUUCACAUUUUUCUCUAAGAGUUUUGAUGGCAAAAGUUUAUAUGUUCUGGCAAAACAGACUCUUCAAUAAUGGAUUUCAGUAGAGAAUUCCUUCGAUCCUUCCUUGAUCUGAUGAUUCUUUACCUAUCCUAAUGGAAGCAUGCUUCAAACGACAGCUUAAGACCUAUAACUUUACCUAGAGAAUUUUGAAAAAGUCCUAAAAGGCCAAGUUUUUUUCUCCAUAAAAUUAGUGAAAAUCAGCAAAUAACCAAGCAACACAAGAUAACGAAAACCAAACAAGAUAACACAUAUGUGAAUGGAUCACCUUCAAAUUUAUGAAUUGAAAACCAUACAAAUCAAAUUUGAUUUGCAAGAAACAUUCCAACAUUCUUGCAAUACCAAACAGAGAUUCUGAGAAUACACACUGACGGAUACUUACAGAGAAACAUCGUUAUAUGGCUUCUUUUUUAUGACUGCCUCAGUGACAUAAAUUAUAACAAAUAAUGAAUUAGGGUUCCACUAAAAUUUCUUCCAAGACCGAAUCGUAGUGUAACUCAGUGUGCCUUCCUCCUUGGAGGUUGUUUUUGAGUUGCUAACCUAUAAAUCCAAUAUACCUACAUAAAUUAAGUGGAAGUGAGCAAACAUGAAAGUACAGAAUUUGGAUACAAAUGCCCCAAAAUGAAACAAAAAUUAGAGUUAGAGAGUACCAAAGCGAAGAUGUGUGAUGCUAUGAGAAUAAGAAUAAUGAAAGGUAUUGUUUCGAGGGUCCAGGUUCCUGUCGAUUGUUGCUCGUUCGCCAUUGUCGCCAGAGAAAAAGCAGAAGCAGACGAAGAGAUUGAAGAAUGGAAGGAGGUAUAAACCCUAAAUCAAAGUUUUACAAAAUUGCAGUUCCGGAACGGUGCAGGGAAAUUUGGGGGCUAUCGUGACACGGGAAUGAAUUAAAUAUAUCUUUGUGUAAAUUUGUCACAUAUUUGCUCUAUAAACUCUACUUCCCAAAUUCAGCAUUUUUGUUUUAAGUAUAACCGAAUCAACUAAAAUCUAACAAAAACAAAUGCAAGUAGGUCUGUGGUUUGUUUGAUAACGUUCUCAUUUUAUGAAUGUGUUUGUUAUUUUUUAAGAAAAAAAUAUAGAAACAAAAAAUGUAUUUGAUAGUUGUUUUUUAUUUUCUAGUUUUUUAAAUUUAUUUCUUAUUUUAUUCACAUUUAAUUCAAUUAAACAUCAAACAAAAAUAUAUGUUCUCCAUUAAACAUAAGAAAAAUAUAUAUAUCAAACCUAGAUAGGAAUGUUUUGUUAUAAUCUUAUGGAGAAUGAGAUGAAGAGGAGGAUCGAAAACCCACGACAAAGAGAGAGACAAAAACUCACGACUAAAACACAAAUCUGACAAAAAUCCACAAAUUUGGCGAAAACACAAUUCAUGCAAAGAGGAAGAGAAAAACUCAUAUCCAGCUAAAAGGAAUACGUCAUGUAUAGGAAGACGAUAAGAGGCGAAGAGAAAGACAACGAAGACGAUGAGAGGAAGAUGAUGUUUAUUUGGAAAAGACAAUGGAGAUAAGAAGAAGAAGAAAAACAACGUGGAGAGUGGUUAUUUAUGGAAGAAAAUGAAAAUAAGAGGAAGAAAAAGAAAAUGACUACACGAAAAUGGAAAAGGAAAAUGAAAUAGAAAAAAGAAAGAAAAUGAAACCAACAGACAAAAAAAAGUAAAAAAAAAAUCAAUAAAAAGAAAUGAGAAAAAAGAAAAGAAAGUUGAUAGAAACAAUUAAGAAAAAUAAUUGAGAAAUGGGAACUUGAUAAACUACUUUUUUUUUCCAAUAAUUUAUUUUAAAUUAGAAACAUUUCUAUUUUUUCUAGAACGAGAAACUUGAAACGUCACCAAACACCUCCGUUUCUUAAAAAAUGAAAACAGAAAAACGAAAACAUUACCAAAUAGGCCCUAAACUUAUCUUUUAACAUUAAAUUCAACUUCUUUUUUUAAAAAAAGUAUGUAGUUUUUUUUAAAGGUUAUAUUCUCAACAUUAUCAUGUCGAUUAAUUUCUAUCGACAAAGCACUAGUGAAAAGCUUAAUAUGAAUGUUACACAACUAUCAUAUAGGUUUUAAGUUUGGGUUUAAUGCUUUUCCACCAUUUGGGUCAUGUUUGAUUAUUAGGCUUUAAGUUAAUUUGUCGAUGCAUUGAGAUUAAAGUUCUUGAAGUGAUGACUAUAAAUGAGGAUUGGAAAAGUAUUUUGUCCAUAAACAUCCAUGAUAUUAACGUAGAGUCAUUAAUCUACUUAAUGAUGGUAGUGUGAAUCAUAUCAAAGUAUAUUUUUUUCAUUAACGAGACAAACUCAUUUGUUUUAGACCUUGAUAUCGUUUGAUUCAUACGUGAGACGUUAUUACAAUUUUUUGGUACACUUGUUUACACAUUGAUUAGUGUAAAAGCUCUCAACUUCACUACCUUUUUCUUCUUACCCUGUGUGACUUAUUUUACAUAUAUUUAACUACUAGUGAUGUUUUGUAAUAUAUUUGUGGAUUGAUGGUUUUCAAAAUAAAAAAGUUUUGAAAUUACGAAUGAAUAUUUUCAAUAAAGUAAAUUAAAGUUUAAAUUCUCAUUCUAACCUCUUAAAAAUCAUAGCAAGUAAAUUCAAAGGUUUUUUUUUUCCAGCAGAGAGCAAAUUUCUUACUUUAACCUAAAUUAAAUUAAAGAGAAGCUGCCCUAUUUCAUUAUCACAUAACAAUUUGUUAGAGCUAAUUAUCUCAUUGCAUAACAAUUUAUUAAAAGAAGCUCAAGUAAAAAUGUCCCGAAGGUAUUUGGUGCUUGGAGGAGGCGCCAAGUAGACGCAAAACGUGGCAUUUUCUUGUUUCUUUACCCAAACCACCUUCCCCGUUUUCCUCUUCCUUCUCACACUCUUCUUCUCCAGCUGCAGGUUUCUUUCAAUUUUCUUCAUUCUCUCGAACAAUUGUUGGAACAGGAUGCAUCUCUAAUGGAUUCUCCAAUCUCUUCUUGCAUUUCUUCUUCUUUCUAGUCAUUAGCCGAUGAGGAAUGUCGUUGCGCGCCUCAACCGCCACCGCCUGCUCACUCCGCCAUACCCAAGUACUUUCUUCACUCUUACUUGCAUUUUCUAAUUCCUUUUGUUUCUGCGAUGUCUGCCUGGUGAUUCUUAAGAGAUGUAGUAUGGAAGUGAUAAAUCAAAUCACUCGAAAAUUCAAGUAGAGUAGAGGCGACGUUAGGAUUUUAGGAUCUUCGUUACUCUUACUCUUUUAUCGGUUAUUGAUACUUUUCUUGAUUUGAUUUGCGGGAGCUGCAUUUUGGACUUCGGUUGACGUAACUUUUUUGGACUUCUGUUGUUCUGGUACUCCGGAUUGAGUUUGGUGUACUAGCUAAUUUGAGGAGAUUGCGACGAGCUUAUAUAAUCUUGAACUAUAUUUUACCCCCAACACACCACUAAACAAACGGAACAGCCGCGAAUUGUGAAGCGUGAAAUGUGAAUUAAGAAUUAGGAUUUCGUUUUAAAAAAAAAAAAUCAGGCGCGUUACUUAAAUAGUUCAAUCAAUCAUAUCUGCUUGCAUUCUCAUAGACUCUGGUUUUACGAACGGGAUGUUUGGAUUUAAGAAUGACCUAUGAUAUCUAUUAACAGGAUUGUUGGGAUUUUGUUUGAGCUCAUUCGGCUGUUUUUGGUUCGAAUGUUUUUCUGAUUUUGUUUGUUCUAGAGUGGUUUUUAUGAUUUUGCCUACAAAAUUGUAGUUUAAACAUAAGGAUAUUUUCCCCCCUUUCAAAUAUGUAUGUGAAUCCAUGAUAAGCUGCUUUGUUCGAAUCAUGCUAUGGAGUCAUAGAACUAAGUUUAAAAAUAUAUGUAUGUUUGUUUGUUUGUUUGCUUGUAUGUUUUUUUUACUGAACUUAUAGCUAACCUAACUACUUUGUUCGAAAAUCCUAUCUUUCUCACAGCUUCUCAACUGUUUAACCAUCCAUGGACUGAGAUCGGUAUUUUUCUUUUUGGGAUUGAAUCGAUUUUUCUAGCCUUCGAGUGAAAAGAAUAGGAUUCCAGAUUGUUGUCCACAUGGGAUAACUUAUCCUCAAAACUUAUAUUUGUGAAAUGGUUUAUAUGCUCUAAUGUAAUAACUUCCAAGUGCAAAUAUAUUUUGGCAGGUUUAGGGAAGUGAAUUUGUCGAUCACGUUUAACUGUUAAAUGAAUCAAUUUUCAUCUGCCUUGAGGAUUGCCCCGUCAUUUCCAUUUCAUAUUCCAUGUAUUUUAGGACAUUACACUUCAAUUACAAUUUAUAAAUUCUGCAUUUUUGCUACGUUUGCAGAUUUGUGCCAUGUCAAUGAUUUUGGAAAAUGCAUAUCAUUGGGAUAUUUGCAAGAUAUUCAAGCUCUGAGGAGACGAGAUGUUUAUCUGUUGACAAACUUGUUUCACCAAAACUCGUGAGUGGAUGCUCAUAUUUGAGAAGGGACUCUUGUCUGAUAUAUAUAUAUAAAUUUUGCCAGGAUUUAUUAUUAUUUUUUUAACAGAAAUGAUUUCAUUGAUAAACGAAAUGAAGGAGGAAAAACUGCAAACACAUUAUUGCCAGGAAUUGUUCUCUCCUAAGUCCUAAUAUUUAUGUGCUUACUAUAGUCAUUUACUUAAGUAUUGUAUGCAGAUUUUCUACUGGCUAUUCAAGCGUACAUGGUGGAAGGCCAUCUGCAGAGUAUGCGAAGUUGAGGAAGCAAUUGCUGGAAAAUGAAUUUGGGCAUGCACUUGGAACUUACAGAUCCAAGAGACUUUCCUCUGUCUAUCACUUUGGCCCAUUUUUAGCGUUCUAUAGGGCAGCAAUUAUUUCAUUCCAUGUAUUGAAGCUAACCAUAUGGCAGUUCUUUGUUCAUGACUUAAAGAAGCGCGCCAUUAAGGUAUUUAUCUUACACAUCUACACAAAGAUUUGCAUCUGUGAAUAACCUUUUAGUAUAAUACUUAACAACUCAAUGAAGCUUUAUGGGUCUGGAGGUUGUUAUGUCUGUCCCAUUCCCUGUAUAUCGUUUGUGUAAAAGAUAUUGACUUUUUUGUUCCAUGUGCUUUUGAGUAAGAUGUUUGUGAUUGACUUAGUAAAGUGUUGUUUUUUCCCUGCAGUUUCGAGAAACACUAAUCAGAUUGGGACCUUUUUAUAUCAAGGCAAGUUUUUUCCCUUAAUUGGAAAUGUGGCCUCCAACUCUUGGAAUUGUGCCUUUUCUUUAGUCUUUUUUUAAUCAAUCAUAACCUAUGCGAAAGAGGUUGCAAAAGGUUUUAUCACUAUUUAUCUGUUGCUUGUUUUUUUUUAUGAAAAGGAGACAAGCUUCUUUAUUAUUAAUAAAGAAACUCAAUGUACAAGAGAUCUAUACAAUGAGAAUAAUAGGGAAGCCAAGAAAAGAGGGAGAGAAAGAGAGAAAGGAUCAGUAGGUGCACCCGGGCAUCUCAACUAGGUUGACACCCCAUAGCACCCUCAUCAUAUCCAAAAUACAAAGAAAAGACCAAAAUACAAGAACAAUACUAAGGUCAUGAAAAGACCAAAGUAACCACCUAAAUAACUACGAAAGCUACCUAUGGUAGACUAAAAGCAAGGCUGAAAGGAAAAACAAAACAGCAGAAAUACAUAUAAAACCCGUCCAAACUACAAAAGCACUAUUUCUGAACGGGCAAUCGAGGGAAACUACUUUGUAACUCAUCCGAUCAAUGCGGUCCAAUUGAGGCAGAUGUCUUGAAUGGAGUAAUCUUUGAAUUCUGCAUUCGAAGAACACCAAGUUGCUGCAUUUCUUUUAGAAAUCUCUACGAUGUCAGCCCAAUUCCUUUUUUUAUCAUGGAAGAUGCGUUGGUUACGUUCAAACCAAAUCUCAGCUAGAACCUCUUUUAUCAAAUUAACCCAAAUUAGAAAAGGUUUUUUUGAUAAAUAAGGCCCCCUCAGUAAUUGGCGCACAUUGGCGCUAAACGAACCAUCAAAGACCCAAACUGAUUUGAGCAUAGAAAAUAUGCUAAACCAACAAUUUGAUGAGAAGGGACAGAAAAUGAAUAGGUGAAUUAAUAGCUCACUGUUUUCCAAGCAAAGGGGGACACACUGAAGGCAGCAAAGACGUAUUGGGAAGCUUCCUUUGCAUAGUCUCGGAACAGUUUAAAGAACCCACUGCCAUAAUCCAAACCAGGACAUUUAUUCUCCUUGUGUUAAUAAUAUAUCAACUUUAAGGUUAAUUGAUGGUGAAAAGAGGCCAGAUGAAUUAAAUGUGAUUGUGCUUGAACUACAGCUUGGGCAGGCUUUGAGCACAAGGCCAGAUAUAUUGCCAACAGUGUAUUGCCAAGAACUUGCAAGGUUACAGGUCAGUUGGACACCAUAUGCAUUACAAAUAGUCUUUAGAGAUAAUUUUCUUCCCAACUACCUUCUUUCAGUCUAUGCUGAUAGUUUGAACUUUCUUUUUUAAAGGACAAGAUACCUCCAUUUCCAACUCUUCAAGCUAUCAAAUCUAUUGAGAACCAGUUGGGUCGUCCUGUUUCACAAAUUUUUGCUGAUAUUAGCCCAGAGCCCAUUGCAGCAGCAUCCUUGGGGCAGGUUUAUAAGGGUAAGUGACUUCCACUCUCCUGAAUGGAAAAUUUUCUCUUUUGUUUGAAAUUCUUCAGACAAUCUCUUCAUGUUCAUCCACGAGAUGAGUGUUCAGAUAUGAAUGUGAAAGUCUUGAAUCUUGAUGUAAGCUGAAGUUAUAUACCCAUUUUUUCUGCCUCAAGUCUUGCAGCUCACCUGCAUUCUGGGGAGCUUGUAGCUGUCAAAGUACAAAGGCCUGGGAUGUCUCUUUCACUGACUCUGGAUGCCUUGUUGUUCCAGAUGAUUGGUGGCCAGCUAAAACGAUUUGCCAAGGCCCGGAAAGAUUUAUUAGUAGCUGUUAAUGAAAUGGUGAGCCUGUGCAUACUUUUUAUUUGUUAGAACUGAUCGUUUUUUCCAUUUGUGGCUUUCUUGCUUGUAAGUUAUUUAUUACCUUUAAGAGGGAUUCUUUUUCCCCAUUUUGUGGUUAUUUCAGUUGUGAAUAUCUCCGAAAAGUAUCCGAAAAUGUCAAUAUAUAUCAUAUAUUUUAAAUUUAAGAUGUUGGAUGUUUGAAAUCAGUUUUCUUGGAUCAUGUUCGAAAUUAUCUUCAGCAUAUUUCAAGAUUUGUGAGCUUCAGUAACUUUGUUAUUAUUGUAAAAAAAUAUUUUGGUGCCAUGAAACCCCAAACAAUUUUCCAAGAGUAUUCAAGUCUUCUUGCAUGAUCUAUAAUGGCCAAUAUUACUUCUCAAUAACACUGAGAGGUGUUGAGUUCUCUCAAAGAUUGGGGGCAUGCUUCCUUGGCCUCUUGUCACACUCUCUCUCUCUUUUGUUAUAUAUAUUUUGUCAAUUGCCUGGCUUGUUGUUCACAUUCAAUUCUUUCUGCAAAUGAACAGGUUAGGCACAUGUUUGAUGAAAUCAAUUAUAUUCAAGAAGGGAAAAAUGCUGAGCGUUUUUGUUCUCUCUAUGGAUGUCAACCAUGUAAGUGCUAAGGUAUUCUGAUUAUGUCCUAAGAAUACUACUACUUCCAUAUACUGAAGCCAAUAUCCAUUGUGAACCGUACUUUUCUGUUUGAAGAUCAUCUUUUGCUAAACCAUUUGAAGUCUGAUAACUGACUGGCAUUUGUAUGAUUUUCUUCAUAACAAUGAAGUAGGCGACAGUGGGAAGAGUUAUGCAGUUGAUGGCUCUGUUAACUACAAGAAAUCAAACUGUGUUAAAGUCCCCAAAAUAUAUUGGGACUUCACUCGAACAGCUGUGCUUACCAUGGAAUGGAUUGAUGGAAUAAAGCUUACUGAUGAAGUUGGCUUGGAAAAGGCUCAUUUGAAUAGAAGGGAGCUCAUUGACCAGGUAUUAUACAGAAAUUGUUCGUCUAUUUCUUGUUUCUCUUUCCAAUCUUUUAUAUUAGCUUUAUUGUUAAUGUAAUAAGUUUUUUACAAAUAAAAAAUGGAAAAAAGAUAUGAAAGCUUUUUUUCUCAUCAGGCAGCUGUGUCCAUUCUCUAUCGUGUUCUUGUGUUUCUUGAAGUAGGCUAUUUACAUAAAAUUUAAUGUAUGCCAUUUUAUAAGUAUUAUCCACUAUUCUCUUGUAGGGAUUGUACUGCUCUUUGAGGCAACUGCUUGAGGUGGGUUUUUUCCAUGCUGAUCCACAUCCAGGGAACCUUGUUGCUACUGAAAAUGGCUCUCUUGCAUAUUUUGACUUUGGGAUGAUGGGUGAUAUCCCUCGGCAUUAUCGCGUUGGACUGAUUCAAGUGGUAAGGAAAUACUAUGCAGCUUUAGUAACUUAUUCCUCUGUUCAAUAAGUUGACUGUUUAGGCUUACCACUGAUUUGAAGAAGCAUUUGGUAGAAUGGGGUAUAAUUUUCACAUGUUACCAUCUGUUUAACUUCUCUUAUUUCCAGCCCCUGGCACGAACUAGAUAUAUUGCAUGCAAGUUGGGAUGUUUAUCGUCCAUAUGAUGCUUAGAGAUUUGUGAAAACAUGAAACGUGGUGGGAGAAACAAUAUCCUUCCCCCACACUCCCAACAAAAAAAAUGGAGAGAGGGAGAGGGGUGGAAAACUUUUGUUGGGAAAUUUAAAACGAGAUUGAAAAAUACCCUUAGUUCUUGUAUUUUAGUUGGUAAAGAUAUCGUCUGUAAACUUUAUAAUUGGUAACUUUUUAGUCUCUAAUGGGAAAAGCAUUGUUACGAUUUAAUGAGAUUUAUUACUUGUAUAGAUUGAAUAAGUAAUGAGAGUUCAUUAAUAAAUUAGAGAGAUUGUGUCAUUAUGUUACAAAAACUGACCCUUAAAAAGUGAAAGUAGGCCUGUAUGAUAACCAUUUUGUUCUUUCUCUUAGUUUCUGAAAAUUUUUAUUUUUACUUUUUUUUUUUUUUUUAAUUUUAAUUUUUGCAACUUCUUUAUAGCUUUCAUCAUUCCUAACAAAAUAUUUGAAAUUUUAGCUAAAUUCUAAAUGUAAAAAAGUUUCAAACUUUGGCUUUGCUUUUUAAAACACUCCUAAAAAGUGGAUAACAAAACAAAAAAUAUCAAUAUAGGGGAGAUAGUGUUUAUAAGCUUAAUUUUUAAAAACAAAAAAAUCAAAUGGUCAUCAAAUGGGCUUAAAUGGUUACAAACUAAAGUUUAUGGAUUAAAUUGUAGAUUCACAAAAAAUCAGGACCAAAAUGUUUUUUCAACCCCAAAAUAAACUCCAAGAGACACUAGCAUGGAUAUUGUCCACAACGUAAUAUUGGUAAUUCCCCUAUUGUUUGAAUUUCCAUCAUUGUUGAAUGGUCUAAAGUUGCUUAAUACUGGUCUAGGCUGCACAUAACUUUCUUGUCAAAACUCAUUUUUACAUAUUCAGUGGGUCUUCCCUUCUCCAUAUGCAUGUUUGUCAAUAAAAAUAUAUUUGUUACAACAUUUAAUGUUGAAUAAUGUUGUUCUCCAUUAUCUGGUUGGAUUUAUUGUUUUUCUUUCACGUCAUUUUUACUUUUUGUUUCCAGUCCUCAUUUUCUAAGUUUGAUGCAAAAUAUGGUAGGAAUGUCAGAAAACCAGUUAAAAGUUUAUUUUCUUUCAGCUGGUGCACUUUGUAAAUCGUGACUCACUUGGUUUGGCCAAUGAUUUUCUUUCUUUGGGAUUCAUUCCUGAAGGGGUUGAUAUACGAUUAGUUUCUGAUGCACUAAAUGCAUCAUUUGGCGAUGGGAGAAAACAAUCACUGGAUUUUCAGGUUCGUUCUUAUUUCUGAACUUUAAUUUCCAUUUACUAUCUCAAAAGAAAAAAGAAAACAAAAAUCCUUUUGAUCUGCGGACCAUGUUUAAAGCUGAAGACUCUUCUGCGUGCAAACUGGCAUGGAUUUUAGGGAGUGAUGAACCAGCUAUACAAUGUGAUGUAUGAAUUUGAUUUCUCCCUUCCUCCGGACUAUGCCUUGGUCAUAAGAGCGUUAGGGUCACUUGAAGGCACUGCAAAAGUCCUUGAUCCUGAAUUCAAGGUCUUAGAAAGUGCAUAUCCUUUUGUCAUUGGGAGGCUUUUGGAAGAUCCAAACCCUGAUAUGAGAAGAAUUUUAAGGGAACUCCUCAUCCGAAAUGAUGGAUCCAUUAGGUGGAAUCGGCUUGAACGCUUAGUAAGUUCUUCCUCUUAUUUCUCUAUCACGUAGCAAGUACUUUGUCUUUGGAAAAGAAUGUACCAGUGAUGAUUAUAUACGCAAAUACUUGGCUUUCUUUUCUUUGUUUUGUUUGUUGCAAGAGGUCUGCCAGCUUUCUUUAUUUGUAUCUUAGCAAAAAAAAUAAAAAUUGUUACAGGUUGCAGCCAUUUCUGAACAGGCUUCCGAGCCAAGUGAGGAAUCCCUCAAGGAAAAUUUUUCGAAUCCCCUAGGAUGGAAAUCAUUUGACAUGCCAGCAGUUGUUGCAGCAACUGAAGAUCUUUUUCUUUUCAUUCUCUCUAAGAAAGGUUCAAGGGUUCGAGUUUUCCUCCUCCGCGACAUCAUUGCAACAGUUGACAUUGUUCUGCAGGAUGAAGUUUUUGGGUGCUCAUCCGAUGAGAAGCGUCAGACAAGAUCUGAGGUUUGUUCAACUCAACUUCUACAUAUUUGCUUCAAAUAAUAUCCUUACAAACCAAAGCAUUCUCGAAGUCGGAACAAAUUUGUUAGGGUGAUGGACAAUUUGGUGUAAUUUUGUUUGUAGGAUCAUGCUAUGCUGGAAAGAGUUGUUCACGGGUUUCAGUGCCUCUGUCAAGCAAUAAAGUUAGCACCACAAGUGUGGACGGCUAUGCUCAUUCGCAUGGCACUAAAGCCUGAGGUUCAUAGUUUCUCUCUGGACGUCAUUUCAAGCGUCAUGAUGCAUUUUGGAAAAAAAAUUCCCGACCAUCUUUGGAUUUGUAUUUCACGAUUCCUUCAUGACUUAGAGAAAGACUACAGUUCUAACAAAGUAUGAGGAAAGUAAACUGCUUCUCUUUCUCUUUUAAACAACUCUUUCUUUCUCUUUAUAUAGAACACAUUUUAAAGAAAUCAAUGAUAGUCAGCUAGUUUAGCUCUUAAGGAAGAUGUCCUAUCCUAAGCCCUUGACUGUUUAUCUUCUAAAGCUGAUAGUUUCGAUUGGAUUUUGCCCCAAUUGAAUUUGGAGCAAACUUUUAGUUUUAUUAGAUUUUAGUACUCAGCAGUUGAAUUAUUACCAUUGUAAAUGGGUUAGCAAAAUUCUAGCUUUAUUUGUCCAUGCUCGAUAGGUGACUUCUAAGUUUAGGAGGAUGAAAAUAAUCAUUUUAUUAAUCAAAUUCUUGUUUUUAUAAUCUUAUAGAGUAUCCUAUCUACUACUUUAUUUACAAUUAUUUUAGACUGGUACCCCCACCACGUUUGGAGAAACCAUAUCUUUUAACAUGUGCCUAUGAGUACAUUGUGCUCAGGCAUAGGGAUGGUGAGAUGGGUCUUCCUUGAGGAUUUUUUUUUUCUUUUGGUGGGAAAGUAUUUUUAGUCUCCUAAGUGUGUAACAAAUUGGUUUGGUAUAAAGGGGUGUUGGACGCCCGUAAUGGGAUUGAAAUGUAUAUGAUGUAAUCCAAGAUUUGUGUUCGGAUGGAGCGUUUCAAAAUACUAAAUUUACUAUCUUUUGGCAGUUUUCACUUCACUUUCCACGAUUUCAUUUUUUGUUCUGCACUCCAUUCGACACUCAUUUCAAAGUUUCUUUAAUUCUCAGUAAUCUUUUUAUAUUUGUGUCGAGUUUAUUUAUCUUAUUUUAUUAUUUAUUUUAGAACUUCACUUUUGAGUUUAUCGAUAUUUGAGGGAGUCAUUUGGUCCAAAUAACUAAAAUUCAAUAGUAAAUCAGUAAAGUGUUUGUAUUAACUUUUUCUUUUCAUUUUUUCAUUUUUACAUUUUUACAUUUAUCUACCAACUUUAUCUUUUUCUCUCUCUUUAAUUCUCUUACUUAUUAAGCAAUUUUGCUUUCUUCAAUUAGAUCUAAUUUUUUUUCAAUUAUUGAGGAACUCUUUUCAAACCUUACAUCUCAGCCAUAAACUUACGUAACUCCAUAUAAACAUACUAACCUCAACACGGUGGAGACGAACACUUGGUUCAUUUUGGACGUGCAUGACAAUAUUUGUUAUCCUUUUACUUUCUACUUGCAAUAAUUUAAAUUUAAAUUAUCCCAAUUUUUUAUUGGGUGACUUUCUUGAUAGUUUCUUUCCUACUUUGAUGACAUUUGUUUGGAGAAUAUUUUUAUUUGGGUGUCUAAGCUGAUUUUAAUUGGCUAACAAAUUAUAUUUACAACUAGAUUUCAUUUGAGCUUCUUUCUUUUUUCGGGGGGUUAUCUCAAUUGACUUGCCAUGCUCUCCCUCAUCUUUUUAAGUAACAGCAGUCAGCGAAUUGAGGGGAAAGAUAAUCCUUGUAGCCUUGCAAUAUUUAUAACAAAAGACAAACUAGAUAGAAGAACGCAACACUUCCAAAUUUGGUAGAAAUUUUCUUUCUAUAAAUAAGUAAGCAAGGAAAUUUGGGGCAAUCCUAAUUGCUUCCUUUACCAAUAAAACUGUUCUCAUGGCAUCUCAUCUUCUUCUCUGAACAAAAGGGCCCCACUUUAUGGUAAGAUUAAAGCAAAAGUUAUAGCCAGUCUAUACAAUAUAAUUGUGAGGAGGACUUUAAGAAGUGACCAAACAAAAUGUGUUUGUCUAUCUCAUUAAAUCAAUGUGUCUCCUUUGCAGCUCAUCACAUUCAAAGUCGCAUCAAAAUCAUAAUUGUGGAGUUCAUUAAAAAGUAAAACAUUUAUUAGUAGUUGAAUCUUUUGGUAUUCAUUUAUAUGGGAUGUUUGAAUAUCUAUAACUACGUUUCAAACAAUCCUAAUUUAUUGAGAUUUAAUUGAUUAGAUAAUUAAUCCUUCCUUAUGGUGAAGUUCUUGCUAAUUUGGACAAAUUAUCUUUUCUUGAACGAUAAGUAACAAAUGUCGUAGUUAAGUUGGGAUAAUCAUUAUAUGACACAUUAAUGUGUUAUUCUUUAUUGGUGAUGAUGUUUAAUUCUUGAUUUUUUUGUUAUCUUUCUUUUAAAUAGAUCACUUAGAAAACAUAGUGACUUUCUUUUUAAUAUUAACUUAAUAUUAUAAUUUUAGAUAAUUUGUUGAGACUAUUUAACUUAUUAUUACUAAGCUUCUAACCUUAACAUCAACAAUAAACUAAAAUCAAGAUAUCAUGUAAGAUUAAGACAAAAUUGAAAGUUCAACGUACAUGUAUACAAUCAUUAACACUUAAAUUACAAGUUAAGAUAAUUCAAUUAAAAAUGAAGCUAUACACAUAAUUUAUACCUUCAUAUAACACAAAAUAAUAGCAAAGAUUCCAAGGAGAGCAUAUGAGAACCAUACAUGUAUGAUUUACAAACACAGCAAUCUCAACCAAUCAAUAGAUGCUGGAAUUUCAACCAAACGAAAGGCCCUACCUUCGAAUAUUUUAAGCAAUUGGAUAUUCAUCAGCUCAUCAACGUUACAAGUGGCCAGCAUUAGAAUAUUAAAAUCAAACUUACCCAACACAACAAACGAUGGCCUUUUGAUAUUUUAAUGAGAAUAAAAUAUAUAUAUUCAAACCAAACAACAUGAGACUUAAAUCAGUUCACCAAUUGGAAAUUAGAAAUUGAUACACUUUGCUCUAAAAAGCAAAACAAAAAAUAUAACAACUAAUGCUGCUUGCUUCAACAAAAUCACAAUCUAAAAUUUAAAAUUAAGAUGAAGAAAAGAAAAGGGAUUUCGAAAAGAAAGAUUUUCGUUACCGGAGAAGAAAAAGAAAGGCAAAAGAUUUAAUGCUACAAAAAAAAAAAGAGAGAAGAGUGUACAUGAUCCAACGGUCAGAUAUCGUCGAUCAAAACCUCCUUUUCCGACUAUUUCUUCUUCUUUUUCUUUCUUCAUAUUUACACAAACAUUUUUUUUUUAUAUAUAAUUACUAUUAUUAUUUUUUUUUAUAUAAAAUGAUAAUGAAAACUUAGAACGAAGGAACGACGCCGUAUCCACUCACUCGAUCAACAUCAAGUUCGAUGUCAGUCCGUUUGGCGAACCGUCCUUUGAUUCGCGGUCUCGUCUCAGCGUAAGCUUUACGAGAUGCGUAUCGGAUCGUCUUCUCGAACUUUCUAUUCUUCCUCUUCUCUCUGUACCUUAACACUCUCGCUUCCCGAUCCGCCGGCGAGAUUUGCAGCGGUUGAACAGACGAUUCUGUGGAAGGUUUCGUGUACGGAUUUGAUACAUCUGUCAUUGCGUUCCCGUCCGGCACCACUCCGACCUCGAUCGAAGAGGAUGAUACCUGAUGGUAAAGAAAAGGUGAGAUGAGAUCGAUGUUUCAGAUUCAUUUGUAUUAGUUACUGGAUUUUGAUGUUUGGAUGAGAAAUUGAUUGGAAGGUAAUGACUUACACUGUGACUGAUUGACUGAGGGUUAUGACCGUACGGGAACGAUUUGGUGCCGGUGAAGUCUAUACCAAGGCAACGAUCGUUUGCUGAUGAGAGAUGAACUCCUUUGCUUUGAACAGGAACAACUCCAUCGGCACCGGAGCUAUUCUGCUCUUGCGCUUCUAAUUUCGGAUCUACAUGGCUGUAAUCCAGAUCUAGGUAAGGAUCCAUUUCUGGAAACUCAAACUUGCCUGAGUUCAGAUCUGAACUUUCUAUUGCCUUCGGGUUAGGGUUGGGAAGAAGCCAGGAAGCAGCUUCGGCUUCUUCUCUACUAACAUCGGCGGCAUCAGCGUCGACAUCGGAGAAGUAACGGUCGUCGAGGAAGUUGAUUGCAGCGCUAGGUUUAACAGGGAGUGAGUUGUCAGAGUUGGAUGUGUCGUAGAAAGGCGUAACUGGAACACGUUCAUGACGACGUGCGAGCGGAUUAGCAGAGUGAAUAUCGUGGUCGCAAGUGAGGCAGAGAGCGGCAGCGUCAGCCUUACAGGUUACAUGAGCCGGAGCUUGCUCACAGACUUCACAAACCCAAACACGAGCAUGGCGAGAGGCAAGCUUGUUGGCUGCGUGAACUUUGGAGUCACAGCCAAGACAAAGGAAAGCAGAGUCAGCACGGCAGAAGAGAGUGGCUGUUGCGGACUUACACGAGUCACAAAGCUUGGAAGCCAUGCUUCAAUGGUGGAAAACUCAAAAUGGUAUGUAAUGUCUCUCUCUCUCUCUCUCACUUCUUCUUCUUUGGUUCUAUACUAUUCUUUUGGUUAAUCAUGUGUGUACGAGUCUAUCCGGUGGGGCCAACGAAAUCCAGUCAUGAACGAAUGAAAAUGGAACACGUGGGUGAACCUUAGCCAUAGAAACCAAAAAUAUUUAUCGCCUUCAGUGAAGGGGGAAAUUAAUAAAUAUUUAGGGGGUUGAAAAAUAUUUUUCUUUCUUCUUUACAACACGAGGCUAGUGAAGGAUAAAGUUAAGAAAUGGGUCCACGUGAGAUGAACGAUGUGAGGUUGUCAACUUCUUCUUUCCCCCUCCGGACUUCAUGUGAGAGUUGGACGUUUCAAUUCAACUUCUUCUUCUUCUUCUUUUUCUGCUUAAUAAUUCAAAACACUGACGAUACAUCGUGUGGUACAUAACAAGAGCUUUGUUUUAUUCAAUUUCAUAAGUGUAACAACAGUUUUUCAUGUGUCAAAUUAUGAUUGUUUUUCUUAGUAUAACCUCAAAAAAUUACAAUAUGAUCUUUUUCUAAUGAGUUUAAUAAUUCAUAGCACCACUCAUCAAAUUGAAGAGUUUUUUCUAAUUGAAUAAUUAUAGAGAUGGAAGAUUGAAAAAAAAAAAAAAGUUAGAACUUAGUAGAGUUGGAAAAGGCUUUAAGGUGUGUAAUAAUGAUGGUGGGACCUAUUUUCUCUAGAGACUUCUGUUGGCCCAAAACAUCGGCCCAAUUCUUGAUUUUCCUUGCUGGUCUCGGCCCAUUUAUAAUGUAAACAUGUUGGACUUCACUUGUGAUGUCCACCCUUGAAAUCUUUUUUUCUUUUUUUCAAAUAGGGAAUAUUUCCACUCUCUUAGAAGUUAGAAUAAAUGGGUUAUUUACUUUCAAUAUAAAUAGUUUUUUUAAAAUACAUAUAUUUUUUUAAUAAAUUAACUUUAGUAUUUCAUUUUAAAGUAUAUUUUAAAUCUAAUAUUCCAGUCAAAACUCAAGAGUAUUUGUUUUUUACUUUUUUUUUUUUUUUAUGCCUUAAUUUUUAAGAUUUGAUGAUCAAGUAUUCGAGUAAAAAAGUAAUGCUCUAGAAAAACAAAAAAAUGAUUUUCUACUUUGCAUUUUUUUAUAAAUAGUUUUUAGAAGUAUUUUUAGCCGCACAAAAAAUAUGCUCUAUCAUAACUUAUUUAGACAUAGGAUUUAAUCAAAUCUCUUUUCUGUAUUCUCUAGUUUUAGUGAAAUAAAUUUACGAAGGAACAUGAGAGGAAUGGCCUUAAGUUCUACCAACAAAACACUGUUAAAUUAAUAAAGAUGGUUAAGUUUUCAAUUGAUAUCAAAGGUUUAUAUCUCCGUCCCCAUAUGUUGCUAACACACCAAAAUAAAAAUAAAAAAAAAUCAUGCUCUAAGCAAUGUGUUUUAUUCUAUUUUACAAUUUACAAUAUAUAUUAUCAAAUAUAUUUAAUCUAUACUUGAGAUUUCAAUCGAGAGGUGAUGAGUUUUUUAGUUAUGAAUAUAAAAUAAAUUAAUCGUAAUUUCAUAAAAUGAAGAAGAUAUAUAUUUAAAUAUCCUACGUAUAUGAAUAUUAACUAAAAUUACCGAAAUUAGAUAUUUCAUAAUUUUAUUGAUUAGAGAUAUUGUAAUCAAUGCCAUUCAGAAAACCCUUAUAUAAUAUAAUAAACAAUAAAUUCAAAAUUGAAAGAUGAUAUAUUAUUAAAAUUUAGUACGUAUGUGCAAUAUUUGAUUAUAAUACGUUAAUUGUCCAAAUCUUUCUUAUUAAUUACCUGAUAUAUUAUACACUAAUACUCUACAUAUAAAGAAGAAGAAAAAAAAACAAAAUCUCACUUUUGUCAAAUGCACAAACCAACACUUAGAAUAGAAAGAAAAUUAAACAAAACAUUUGGGCUUUGACUGUGGAGGGAAAUCAUUCUCCCUCUUAUAGGGAUUAUUUUAAUUGAAUAGAAUGUCAAAUUAUAGAUUAAUUUUAAUUUGAGUAAUUAAGCAUAAAUUUGUUAAUUGUUUUUAGUACACAAGAGAUGAAUAAUCGAACUCGGUGUCAUCUUUCUUAAAAGAAGGUUGUUUCAAAUUUCAUUUUAUGAAAAAGUAUACGUUUUACUAUAUUUAAAAAUGGUAAAAAGAUUAAUAUUCUCACAUUGGGAAAUAUGUUAAUCAAUAUGAAUAUAAUACACACAGCAAUUAGAUGUGCAAACAGGUAGUCUUUGAUUCCUUGUUCUUCCUUCCAAUACCACAAGUUUAUUUUAUGCACCAUAUUUCAAUCUAACAUAAAAUUGUAAUUUUGACUAUGAAAUCAUAUGUUCGAUUCUUUUUAACUUAGUAUAUGGUUGAAAAAAAGUUUAUAUUCCUAUUUUAUCUCGCUUAAUAACAUAUUUUACCGGUGAAUUAUACAUACUUGUUGUUUAGUAUAUACGUAAUUGUUACCUUAACUACACAUAAUUGUUACCUCAACUUUGAAGUUUGGAGCUUUAAUUCUUUAUCUAAUGAAGCAAUAAACUUUUUAUUUUGAGCCUAUUAGGUCUACUUAAUUGAUCUAUUAAAUCUAUAUUUCAACUUUGUCCACUAGGAUGCUAAGAUUUUAAAUUUUUACUAAUUGUCUUUUUUUUUUUUUCCAAAAGAUUAGAAUUGUAACUUUUGAAAGUUGGAUGUAAUAUAAGAAAACCUUUAAAUUUAAGAAUUGAAUUUUUAUAUUUAACGUUAACUAUGAUAUUUGAAUUAUUCGUUAAGAUAUUCUAUUAUGGACUAAAAAGUUACUUAUUCAAAAUUUUACUCUCAUGCGUCAAACUAAAAAUUAAAUAAAUUUAUUACAUAAAGUCUGAAGGUAUGUUUGGAAGUGAUUCCAAUACUGUUAAAAUCAAUUUUAAUGAUGUGAUUUGUCUCUAAAAGUAUAUGAUAAAAAAUGUUUGAAAGUGAUUUUAAACGUGGUAAUUGAUUUAAUAACUGUAAUUAUGAAAACAUUAAAAUGUAUUUGUAGAAAUUGAAUUAAAAUAAUUGUAACACCUCAUUUAAUAUGCUCUUGUAACUUUUCUUUUCUUUUCUUUUCUUUUCUUUUUCUUUUUCUUUCUUUUUUUUUUUUUUUGGAGGAAAUUCUCUCUUAGUUAUUAGUUUGUGGAAAAGAAAAGAAAAUGAUAUUUUGUCAAAAAAAAAAGGCACAUAUUACCGAAUAAAGUUAUUUGAUUUCUCUCUAUACGAAUUCCAUUUGCUGACUUUUUCAACUUUUUGGGCUUUUUUUAAAACGGUUUGAGCCCAUUCUCCAUCCUUAACUUAGUCUUCAAAUUUUACACUCUUUUAAUCUAAUUAAAUUAUACAAUAUAUAUAUAUAUACACGGUGGAAAAUUGAACUCAACACUUCUUGUUCAUAAGUGCAUACAAGUGUCAAUAAAGCUAAGAUUAUGUUGGCUAAUAAAUUUCUAUUAUUGUCUAUCAAUGUCAACAAUAAAAACAUAUAUAAGUGUCUAACAUGGAUUUAGUCUGAUAUGACACACACUGAUAUUUUGUAAAGAUUUUGUCAAAUUUUUUUACUUUUGAGAACUCAUUUAUAAAAAUAUCAUCAAAUCUUUAAAAAUAUAUAUAUAAAAAAAACAUUAUUAAAUUUCUAAAAGAAAGGUUCAAAUACACUUCAUUAUUGGUAUAGAAACAUAAGUUGAAAAUUUGUAAUAGUUAGUACAGGAACAUAAAAUGUAACUUUUUGUUUGCUAUUGUUGAGUGAAGGGAUUGAUCAUUCGUACUUACUUGAUGCUGAUUGAGCUGUAUUUGUUUUAACAAUCAAUAACAUUUAGAGUUUCUUAGUUAACCAUACUUAAAACCUAAUUCACCCGAGUUUAGAAUUGUUUAAAUGUGUUAUAUGAUGUAAUGAGACAAUAAAUUACGUAAAACAUUGCUAUUAAGUUGUGGACUACAAACUCUUUAUGCCAAAUAUUUAUUUAUUUUCAUUCUGUAAACUAUUUUUCUUUCAAAUUUUUAAAAAGUUGAAUAAAAACACAAUUACAUCUUACAUGACAAUAAUUUUCUUAACUAACAUGUUUAAAUCAAAUAAUUAUAUUAAACUACCAUUAAUCACAAAACUUUUAAAGUAAUUCAACUGAAGAUUAGAAGCUAUUUUGUUAAUCUUCAAAAGCAUUGGAGAGUUCAAACCAAAAUGAUUGAAAAUAAUGAGUUUUGGGGUAAUAAUUAAUAAACAGUAAGCAUUAAGCAACACGGCGACGUAUCACCACACAAAUACUAUUCUAAAAGUUUUAGUCUCCAUCCACUAAAAUCAAGACGCGUGUCCCCUUCCUUUAUCUUUUACUGUUGAAUUUCCUUCCAUUUGAAUGUCAGUUGACUCGCCGGUACGGUCACCGGUGAAACAAAAACGUCACCGUUUACUUAUUUAUACUUUGAUUGGAGGAAGGCACAUCGCCACAUCGGCUGUUUGAUAAAGAAUAUAUUUCCUUCAGUCAUUUUCUUUGCUUUACUUUUUAACAAAUAAGUUAUUAUUAUUAUUUUCUUAAAUUAAUAAACCUAAAAAAUAUCCAUACAUUUAUAAUAAAUUAUAACUCUUGAAAGUGACUUAAUUAACAAUACCCUCUUGUGGGAAAAAAAAAAAAAGGAAAUUGUUCCCUAAAUAUUAAAUACUGUUUAUUUUAACAUAUCAAAAUCAUUUUAUUCUCUAAUCUAACAGAAACAAGAAAAGAAAAAACAUUUUAUUCUGUUUUAUGUUAUCUUUCAAUAUAAAUAAUAAUAAGGUUUGGGAAUCUGAUUUUUAUAAAUUAAUGCGUUAAUAAAACACCAUUAUUUCGUCCAUAUUUUAAAAGAUAAUAAAUGUUUUCUUGCAUAUACUUUUCUUUUCUUUAGUUCAAAAGUAAGAACAAAUGUUAUAUAUUUAAAUUUCUAAAAAAAUUAAAAAACGGAAUAAGUUUAAGAUAUAUAAAUGAUAAAAUAUGACCCGAUAAGAAUAUAAAAGGUCAAGCUUAACAUAAUGAUAACAAGCUAAGUAUUAUCACAAUGUUGAUCUUAGAUUAAGUUUUUUUUAAAAAAAUUGUGCUUGAACUCUAUCAUUUAUUUCAAAAAAUACUCAUGGAACUAACAUUAUUAUAGUAUAAAUUAUUUUGAAUUUUGAACAAAAAUUGUUUGAUAGUGAUUUAAAAAGAAAAUUUAGAUCAUCACAUCGUCUUAGAUCAUCAACGCACAUCAUUUUAAAUCUCAAUUUUUGUUAUAAUGCAGUCAUGAUCUUGAGUGCAUUUUUGCCCUUAAACAAAAUUAGUAUUUUAAGAGACAACCACAUCUUAUAAAUUUCAUACAUUUUGCUAAUUUUUUGUCGCUUUAAACAUUUAAUAAUUCAAUUGAGCAUUAAUUAAAUUCAAAAUUUGUGCAAAUUUUGAUUCUUCUGCAUAAAUUGUUGAGGGUUUAUAUUGUUUGACUAUAUAUAUAUAUAGCAGCAGGUAACUUAGUCAAAUAUUGAAUAUUGUGAAAAUUAAAGCAUUUGACUAAAUUGAAAGUGCAAUUUAAUUAAAAUUGAAAAAACAAAAUAAACCCAUAAAUAAGAUUAGAAGCAUUAUUUAUUGAUUAAAAAUAAAUAAAUAAUACUAUAAAAUAAAAUAAAAUAAAAAUGGACUGAAUAACUUUACUUUAAAUAGUUUUAGAAAGAAAAAGGAAAAAGGAAAAAACUUUAACGAAAACAGAACCAUUAGAAAAACAAAAAGGGCCGAUGUGAUUUAAUUUUAAAAAUUAUACCAUUUUAAUUAUUUUACAUAUAAGCAAUAGUUUAGAUGUAAGUGUUCAUACUCCAUAUUUAUCGAUUUCAUCUUAAUUAUACUCUAAAUGAAGAUUAAAAAGUGUUUUUGUAGAUGAUAUUUUUCUUAGAAAAAGAAAAUAACAAAGAGAAAAAAAGUGUGAAAUGGAAAAAGCUUUCUUUUUUCUAUUUUACAUUCAUAAAUUUUACACACACAAAGGGAUGGGAAAAGAAAAGGUUAGAAAUGAAAGUUUUCAUUUUUCAACUUUAAACAAAACUCAAUCGCAAAUAUUAUAAUUAUUAUCACAUAACUCUCCAUUUUAUCUCUCCAAAAUUUUAAUUUACAUUUCUCGUUACAUCAAAGAACAAAAUUACAUAGAAACACCCAUAUCCAUAUCCAAAAUUGGAAAAUUUGGUUUAAAAAAAAUAACCAAAAGAAAGAAAAAAGAAGAAGAAGAAGAAGAAGAAGAAGAAGAGGAUGAUUAUUAGUAAAGCUUCACUCAGCUUCUUGUUGUUGUUGUUCUUGAUGAUGUUGCUCUUGAUGCUGUUGUUCUUGAUUUUGAUGGUGACCCAUUUCUUUAGUCUUCUCACAAUUAUCACAACCCAUCUCAUCAUUUUUUUGAACAAAAUGAUCAAAGUUAGCGGAAGAAAGAUUGUGAGAGUUUUGGGAAAGGGAAGAGAAUCUGGGAGUGGUCACCGGCGUGGCCAAGAAAGUGGGAUUUUGAUCUCCGGCCAUAAUCACCAAAAUCUUCUCUUCAAAAAUCUUAUUGGUUUGGUGUUGCUUAAUUUUCUCUUCCUCCAGUUCCCCAAUGUUUGCGCUCUCUAAAUCUCUGUUGUCUCCGUCUCUUUCCUCGGAUUGGAUGGAGAGCUUCCAGUAGGAGCAAGCGAGAAUGAGGAGGGCGAAGGCGAUCAGACCAAGCAUGGCUGCCAGUCCCCCGAACAAGUAGGGCACGGGGGAGUGCCAGGGGGUCCGCUGUGAUGCUGCAGGGGGCUCCGGUGUGUUUAUGGGGGAUGCAGCUGAGACUAUAUUUCUCAUUUCGUCUAAAGAAUGCUUUGGAUGAAUUUUUGUUUGUUUGUUUUGAGGGUGUGAAACAGAGAAAGCAGAGAAAUGGUAUUUAUAGGCCACAAAAGUUAAAAAAGCUAAGGCAGCGGGAGUUUUUUUCUUCUUCUUUUUAUUUUACAUAAUAUAUCACUUUUUCUCUCUAAAUUUUAAUUGAUAAUAAUUUUGAACCCAUAUUUUAUUUAUUUAUUUAUUUUUAUAUAUAUUUUUUUAAAAAAAUAUAUAGAAAUGUCCGAAUAUUUGACCAUAGAACUAUUUCGAAAACGGAAAAAAAUCACAUGUCAUAUAUUUUUUUAUACGAUUUUAUGUUUAAAUUUGACCACCUACAUUAAAAUUUUUUUUUUCAAAAUUUAUGAGUUUAGAUUUGAAUAUUUGCUAGACAAUCGUUAUGCAAAUUUAAAUGAUUUUCUUAGAAAUUGAUGGUAAAUAAUUGUUUAGCUUUUCCUAUUUUCGGUAUACGAUUAUUUAUUAAA